This 65602-nucleotide long non-coding RNA is filed under the name Prunus persica (peach). RNAcentral describes it as "long non-coding RNA (PPER_LNC004950)". Lineage: Eukaryota; Viridiplantae; Streptophyta; Magnoliopsida; Rosales; Rosaceae. The record is from RNAcentral.
GGCAGUAGAUAAGGUAGAACACAGAAACCCUGUGAGCACAACAGUAGAUAAGGCAGAAGCAAAGACAAAGGGCAAGGCCACAACAACAACAACGACAAUGACCACAUCAACGGAAAGCAAAGCAAACAAAGACAACAUCAACGGCGGCAACAUCGACCACAACAGAAACACACCAGCAAAGGCAUGAGCAACAAUACUGACACCAUAACAUGCAUGAGCAACAAUACUGGUACCGAACAACAGCAAUACAAGGCACUGGCACCAGCAAGAGUAUUAAGGCAGGGACAUAACAGACAUCAUCAAUAGUAAUCAACAUUGCCCCCAACAAGAGUUAUAAUAGGCAGGAGCAAUAAUACUGUCCCCAACAAAAGACAUAAUAGGGAUAAGCAACGGUACUGGCACUAGCAAAGGACAUAAUAGUCAGCAGCAAUAACAAUGGCAAAUACUUCCAUUAUCGCACAAACAACUUAUCUUCAUUCCCCCUCUCCCCUUGAAGAGAACGAGUCAUCAGAACCAUAAGAGAAGUGGCACUUAAGAAACAGAAGCUGAUUGACGCUCAAAUGUAGAACAAUCAGUCAUGGCAGAUAGGUAGCUAAAUUGCAGUGGAAUAGAUAAGCAGCGAUGUCACUCCCCCUCAAAUCCGACGAUGUAUGAGAGUCGAGAUUUGGAGAAAGCAACACCGAAAAAUAAAGUUGCAUCUAUUUCCCCAUCAAAUCUGACACUGGUAAAGGGUCGAGAUUUGGAAGAAGAUAAAUUGAAAUAAUAGUAAAGAGACUCAAACAUGCCAGUCUCGUGGCAGAAACAAAUGCAAGAGGGGAAGGUGGUAGCAUACGGCUGUCCCAUGUAGAAAAAACUUUAGAAAAAGAGAAUAGUAAGGGAGGAAACCCAACAAAUCAUGAACAGAGACAAAGACAAAGAUAAGGUGCUCAAACAGGAAUUAGAGCAAAGGGCACCGAAAAAAGGAAACCUUUCAUGUGUGGAAUAGGAAUAGAUAGAGUGCCCAUCAAAAGGAAGCAAUAUUAUAUAAGGGAGUUGUGAAAGCGAGAGAUAAUGCAGCGAGAAAACAACAAAAUGGAAAAGGUUGGUAAAAGAAAGAUGAGAAAUAGAGAGGACCUGAAAAGAGUUUGGUUGCAUAGCAGGGGAAACCACAUCCAUAGAUCAAAGAGGAAGAAACUAAAGAUAUUUAAAAAGUAAAGCAUGGGAAAUUGCAUGUGACAAUUUUUAAAAAGAAACUAGUGGAAGAAAGUGAGGUGCUAGAACCGAAAAAAGGAUAGAAUAAUGCUGUGAUUGAAGGAAAAUAAUGACAAAGGAAGGUAUCUGUGAGGAAAUAGACAGACAGAGAAAGGGAUGAAUAUUGGAAAGAGGCCAAAGGUAGAAAGAAAUAAGCAUAAGGGUAAAAAGGAAGGAGAUAGAAAAAUAAAUAAUAAAUACCCAACGGGAAAGGCUAGAGUGACAAAGCUAGAGAGAUGGCAUGGGGAAAGAACACAACAAACACCAGCCAUUGGGCAUAGACAAACAAAAGAGAUAAACAUAAAUAAAAGAGAGCUAAAUAGAGCAAAGAGAGAAACAAAGAAAGGGUGCUCAAAACUGAGAAGCGGAAAGGCAACUCAAGAGAACAGCCGAAGAAGGCAGAGAUCGGCAGAACAGUCAAAGGAAAGGCUCGGUCAUGAGUGGUGACAAGGCUCGCGGAGGAAAGCAACGGCACGGUAAACGGUGACAAGGCUCACGGAGUAAAAAGACCUGUUAUGAAGUUUCAAAGAUAAAGAAGCUGGGACAUCAAGAAAGACCAUCUGGCAUACAAAGAUUAAAAAUAAAAAAAUUUGGAACAAUAGCAAAAAAGCAUGUGAAGGCUAGGUGUGGUGAAAACACAUAUGAGAGGAUUGAUCAAAAGAAGAUGACUAUACAAGAUGAAGACCCAUGAUGGGUUAGGAAUGAGGAGUGUCAACGACUCUCAAUUUGACAGAGGUUAUCACAUGUUAGAAACUAGGCUCUGAUACCAUGUCAAACAAAGUAUGGUAAAUAUUCAAUUAUGCUCAGAUAUGCUCAUAUUUUUAUUCUUCUCCAAUAUGGAGGUAUUUAUACAAGUACAAAGCUGUGUUAACCCUAAAUAAAAUAGGAAAUAUAUCUAAAUUACAAUAGGAAGUAAAUCUCUAUUACAAUAGGACUAAAUAAUAAUUGGUAAGUAACCAAAAUUCUAAUAAAAUAAGGAACCAAAAUCCUAACUAAAUAAGGACUUGCCAACAGCACGACCUUGAUGCACUAUGAGAAUCGAGGCGCUGGCCACAAUGUUGGACGAUGCCAAUGCAUCUCCCAAGGGUCCGAGCUCCGGGCAGUCACCCCACUCGGAUAGCCCGAACGUGAGUGGUGAGGAACCUGUUUGCCCUCUUCCCACGAUAUAAAGAUCAUAGUCAUUUCCCAUGGCGCUUAUCAAUUUGAGAGUUUCUUCUCCAUUGUUCAACACCUCGUGAAUUAAUUUUAUGGAAGGUUGGUUCCUAGUAUUGAGCACAAAGCUCUCUAUAUAUUGGUCGUCUAGUUGUUUCUCCUUCUCAUUUUCCUCUAUCACCUCUAAAAUAUUCUUCUUUUCGUCCUCAUCAUGAUCGUGAUCAUUAUUAUUAGGAUUGUUGGGAGGGAGAUCUGAAUGAACUGCCGCAUCUUUACUGACGAUGAAACGAACCACAGUUAAGCUGAUAUUAGGUUUAGGGUUAGGAUUGCUGGCUAUCCUCCAUGCAUAUGCCAAUGCCUCGCGGUCAUCUGACCCACUAAUGAAGAGCAUGGCACAGCGGCAGCAGCCAUGGCCAUCUUCAUUUUUAAUGUUAGAUGAAUCGGUGAGUCCACGAUCCACGAAGAUGGCCACCGAACAAGAAGCGUUCUCUAGAAGAUUCUUGUUAAUGCCUCUAAAAGAGGGGUUUUCGUUGUCCAUUCCCCCGUAAAUGGUGGAUUGCUUGUGGAAAGGAAUGAUUAUGAGGUCUGCACUCUUGUCGUCCGCAAGGUUGCAAAUGUCCUCAUGCAUGGAGGCGUAAGAGGACACAACAGUUAGUGCCUCCACGAACAAGCUGCUUUCUUCACUUUCGUUCUCAAGUUUUUCAAAGGCAGCGACAAUUUGGUCAGAAGGCGAAGAGUGCUUUUGAUUUUUGGCUGUAAUUUUACUUGUCUUACGAAUAUUGCUGCAUGUGUCGUGGACUAUGAGCAUGGCAGAAGCAUGGCCACUGAGCUCCACCAGAUGGACCGCAAAGACGAACAUCGGGGAUUGUUUGGUGGGAUUGGAAAUCUCCAACAGAUUGAUGACGCUUGAAACAUUGCUUGUUGAAUGGAAGCAAGUAAGGAUUCGAAUCUCUGAGUUGGGUUGUAUGCUUCUUAUGCUUCUGUGCGUGUGCUGCUUAGAUGGCACAUUCGACUUGUAAAUCAAAGCCAAAAUGGGUCCAACCGCGGCCGUCAUUAUCAAAAUUGCAAGCAUCAUUACUGAAAAAGUAUUAUGGUCCAAAACCUGCAUUUAUAUAUAUAUAUAUUUGCCAAUUAAAACAAUAUAAAAUCAGGAAUUUAACACAUGGUUUUAAGAUAUAUAUUUCUUAGAUGUAAUCUAUGUGUACUAUUAUUUAGGAGAACACUUGGUACCAUUGUGUUAAAUUUCGGAGAGACGGGCCAGCGGUCCAUUACCAGCAACACCAAUAUUAUCCCCAACUUGAUUAAUUAAUCAUGGAAUAUUGUGUGUAUGUGGGUGUGGAAGAGGCAGCUGCACAUGCAAUAAUGAAAUAGUUGUACAUAAUGUUGGCGUGGCUUGUGGAUAUUGACUUACUUUCCUUACACACCAAGAAUUCCUAUUAUAAUUGUAAUUGAUUUAUUUUAAUUCCUGAUUUCCUACUGUAAAUGGAUUUAGGAAUUUAUUAUUUACUUGCCCAUUCAGGUUUCGUUGUAUUAUAAAUAUGACAUCCUACAAGGAGAAGAAUACACAGAAAAUUCCCACAAACAAAUAUUCUCUCAUAGUUUUCAUAUUUUAGCAUGGUAUCAGAUUGGCGAUCUUGGAAUUGCUGACUCUAGUUUCAAACCCCCGCCGCCGCUAUGGGGGUUGAUGAUUUUUUCAACCCUCAUGGAGGUAGCACCACCGACUCCUUCUCUCAUUCUCAACCAACCAUCGUUGAGUUGAGUGCCCAGAUGGCUCAGCUCCUACAGAUGCAGACUUUGACCCCGAACCCGAUCCAGAAUCAGGAUCCUCUUUUGACGACCCUGACCCCGACCCCGACUAUGAUGAUGACGACCCCGACCCCGACUCCGAAGACGACCCCGACCCCCACUCUGAUGACAACCCCGACCUCGAAUUUGUCUCUGAUUCAGACCCCGAUACUGAUUUCGACUCCGACUCCGGCCCCGACUUAGGCUCAAAUUCCGAUCCAAAUUCCUACUCAACCUGUAUCCUAUGCAUCUUCCGUUGCACAGAUUAUGACUUCUCGACUAACGACCCCGACACAUGGACCAGAUUGCGCAUAUUGUGGUGAUCCGAGACACACUUGUGAGACUUGUUUUAAAUUGCAUGGCUACCCCGAUUGGUGGGCUGCUUUUACAGAUCGAGGACAAUGCAAUAUGACCAGUAAUGGUACUGGUUAUGGAUUCCAUACUUCCGAUAAGAUUGAUUCCAGGAGCUGGAUAAUUGAUUCUGGUGCAACUGAUCAUAUGACGUUUGAUCCUGAUGAUUUUCUGAAUACUACACAACCUCGACGAACCUGUAUUGCAAAUGCCAAUGGUGUUACUUAUCCUGUGACAGGGGCUGGCACUGUUGCACUUUCAUCCUCUCUCACACUGUCUAAUACUUUACUUAUUCCAUCUUUAUCCACUAAAUUGUUGUCAGUUAGUCAGCUUACUGAACAAUUGAAUUGUUGUGUACUCAUUUACCCGAGUUUUUUGUUUGCUUCAGGAUAUUCACACUAAGGAGAUUCUUGGUCGUGGUACUAAGAGAGGGGGGCUAUAUUAUGUCGAUGACUUCAGUCCCGGCGUGGCUAACAGUGUGACACAUCCCUUUGAUAGCAAACAAAAGCAAAUCUGGUUGUGGCACCGUCGAUUGGGACAUCCGUCUUUUCGAUAUAUGAAGCAUCUUAUACCAGAUUUAUUCUCAGGUUUCAAGGACUUCGACUUCACAUGUGAUACUUGUAUUUUGGCCAUGAGUCACCGUGUGCCCUACCCGUUGAGUACGAACAAGUGUACUACUUCAUUUACCUUAAUUCACUCUGAUGUCUGGGGACCUUCGCCUAUCACUGCUCCUUCUGGUGUUCGAUGGUUUGUCACAUUCAUCGAUGAUUGUACACGGAUGACAUGGCUUUAUUUGUUGAAGAAUAAAAAUGAAGUGUUUUUCCAUUUUCAGUCUUUCCAUAAACAGAUGAAAACUCAGUUUAAUGCUCAAAUCCAGAUUCUUCGCUCAGACAAUGGUGGAGAAUUUGUCAAUCAUGACUUUCAGACUUACUUCCAACAACAUGGAAUUAUCCAUGAGACGACUUGUCCUCAGACACCGCAGCAAAAUGGCAUUGCUGAACGAAAGAAUCGACAUCUUCUUGAAACCGCCCGAGCACUUCUGAUUGGCGCUCAUGUUCCUCGUCAUCACUGGGAUGAUGCUAUUGUCACCGCAGUUCACCUGAUCAACCGCAUGCCUUCUGGUGUAUUGAUCUUUAAAACUCCCUUAUAGGUGCUUGCAGAACACAGACCUCUGCCCUCUGUUUUGGUACUCACACCUCGAAUCUUUGGAUGUGUGGCUUUCGUUCAUCUCCACAAAAAUCAACGUAGCAAACUUGAUCCCUGUGCGCUUCGUUGUGUUUUUGUGGGUUAUGCCACUCAUCAGAAAGGUUACCGCUGUUAUCACCCUCCUACCCAACGAACCUAUGUCACUUUGGAUGUGACCUUUAUGGAAUCUGAGAUGUUCUUCCAUGACCAUCAUCCAAUUCUACGCUUCAGGGGGAGAUACAAAGUGAAGAGCAGAAUUGAAGCAACUUGGAAAACAAAGAAAUUAUUCUCUGUACAGAAAUGAUUGAUCAUCCCGAGUCUGGAGCACGAGAUUACUCUCUGUCGAAAAGCGACCAAUCGCCCAUUCAUAGCGAUCAAUUGCCUAACCCACCUGAUCCAUGCGAAGAUAUUUCUGAUCUAAGUUUCACACCUACAGGCAAUACAAAACAACAAGAUGAAGACCCCCUCUCUAACUCAAUAGUACCAACACACCAAUCUCCUGAGAAUAUCCUUGAGGUAACUACUCCUACUAGACUUGUACAUUUAGAUGAUAAAACUAUUCGAUAUCAAUUACCUUUCAGGCAAAAUCGUGGGAAGCCACCAAACCGUUAUUCACCUGAUAUUGGCAAGACAUCCAAGUAUCCAAUUGCAAAUCAUGUAUCCACUGAGAAGCUGUCUGAACCACUCAAGGCUUUUGUGCAUCAGUUGUCUGCUAUCUAUAUUCCAACAAAGGUCUCUGAAGCAUUGAAAGAUCCUAAGUGGGUCCAAGCUAUAAAAGAGGAGAUGAAAGCUCUUGAGAAAAAUCAAACUUGGACAUUGGAGACUAUACCACGAGGAAAAAAAACUAUCGGAUGUAGAUGGGUGUUUACUAUAAAACACAAUGCAGAUGGAUCUAUCGAGCGAUACAAGGCAAGACUUGUGGCAAAAGGGUACACACAGACCUAUGGUAUAGACUAUGAAGAAACCUUUGCUCCAGUUGCAAAGUUAAACACCGUCAGAGUCUUAUUGUCCUUUGCAGCUAAUUUGGAUUGGCCACUACACCAAUUUGAUGUAAAGAAUGCUUUUCUACAUGGUGAACUCACGGAGGAGGUGUACAUGGACAUUCCUCCUGGAUAUAAUACUUCUCAGAUUGGAACAGUUUGCAGGUUACGAAAAGCAUUGUAUGGAUUGAAACAAUCACCACGUGCAUGGUUUGGACGGUUCACCAUGGCAAUGAAGAACAAUGGUUUCAAACAGUGUAACUCAGAUCAUACUCUGUUCUUGAAACAUCGAAAAGGGAAGGUAACAGCAUUAAUAAUCUAUGUUGAUGAUAUGAUUAUUACUGGGAAUGAUAAACAGGAAAUAUCACAGCUACAAGACUAUCUGGCUACGGAGUUUGAGAUGAAGGAUCUAGGUGGACUCAAGUAUUUCUUGGGAAUUGAGGUGGCUCGAUCACAGCAAGGCAUAUUUCUCUCUCAAAGGAAAUAUGUCUUGGACUUGUUGACAGACACAGGAAUGCUAUAUUGCAAACCUGCGGACACUCCUAUUGUUCAGAAUCAUCAUCUUGGAGAAUAUCCGGAUCAAGUUCCAACUAACAAAGAAAGAUACCAAAGGUUAGUGAGAAGAUUGAUCUAUUUGUCACAUACUCGACCAGACAUUGCUUAUGCAGUGAGCGUUGUUAGUCAAUUUAUGCACUCUCCAAGUGAAGAUCACAUGAAUGCAGUUCUUCGGAUACUUAGAUAUUUGAAGUCUGCACCUGGAAAAGGACAUAUGUUCUCAAAGCAUGGUCAUCUAAAUAUUGAUGGUUAUUCAGAUGCAGAUUGGGCAGGUAAUGUAACAGAUAGAAAAUCCACAUCGGGUUACUUCACAUUCGUGGGAGGUAAUUUGGUGACAUGGAGGAGCAAGAAACAGAAUGUAGUAGCUUUAUCCAGUGCAGAAGCCGAGUUCAGAGGCAUGACUAAAGGCAUUUGUGAACUUCUUUGGUUAAGAAAGUUGCUUACUAAACUUGGGUAUAAACCUACAUCCACAAUGAAUCUCUUUUGUGACAACAAGGCUGCUAUAGCCAUUGCACAGAAUCCGGUUCAGCAUGAACGUACUAAACAUGUUGAGGUGGAUCGACACUUCAUCAAACAGAAGCUUAAGGCUAAAGUGUUUCAGUUUCCUUUUGUGAAAUCCGAGGAUCAAUUGGCGGAUAUUUUGACAAAGGCAAUUUCCAGUAAAGCAUUCCACAAUUCACUAGAUCAGUUGGGUAUUGACGACAUCUAUGCACCAACGUGAGGGGGAGUGUUGGCAUGACUUGUGGAUAUUGACUUACUUUCCUUACACACCAAGAAUUCCUAUUAUAAUUGUAAUUGAUUUAUUUUAAUUCCUGAUUUCCUACUGUAAAUGGAUUUAGGAAUUUAUUAUUUACUUGCCCAUUUAGGUUUCGUUGUAUUAUAAAUAUGACUUCCUACAAUGAGAAGAAUACACAGAAAAUUCCCACAAACAAAUAUUCUCUCAUAAUAUUCAUAUUUUAGCACAUAAUAGUAUAUACAUACAUGUAAGUCCCGCCCAGAAUUGAGGAUUAUUAUAGCGAGCAGGCCUUUGGUGUUCAUGACUAGUCCGAAAGCCAAACUGUCCCUCACCGACAUUUUGUUGAUGAUGGCAGCGACGAAAGUCACAACAAAUUUAGCGAGGAAAGCCAGGGCAACAAUUGACAUGACAAUUAGAAGGCUUGUACUGCGAAAGACAACAACGACAUGCGUUCUCAUCCAAGAAUCAAAAAGAAGAGUGGCAACAAGAUUUUUGACACAAAGUCCUCAACCUUUUCGGUGAUUGCAGUUUUGAGCUCUCCCUUGGGCAAAAUGGCUCCCAACAUGAAGGCCCCAAGAAUGGAGUGUGACCCGAACGCAUCACUAAUGAACCCAAACAGUAGAACCCCGGCCAUGAUAAAGCAUAUUUGGCUGUCCAGGUCGUACUUUUCUUCAAAAAAGCUCGUGUUGCUAACCAUCCACGACAGCGCUGGACGAAGCCCGUAUACACAGAAUAUGAUCAAUGUGAAAGUGGACAACACUGUGUAAAGUUUGCCAUCGCUGAUUGUGGCCACCGUGAUGACAAGAAGAACUGAAGACAUAAGGUCGUUGAUGACGCUUACGGAGAGGGCGGUCCGGCCAACGUCACUGUGCAGUAGCUUGGCAUUGGCAAGUACUCGGGCAAGUUCGGCGAAGUUGGUGGUGGUAAGGGUGAUGCCCCAGAAGAAAGGACCAUAAGUGGUAGCCUUUAGUGGGCGGGAGUUGGGUGUUAGGGUUUUAUGCAGGAGAUAGCCAAGAGGGAGGGGAACCAGAAUUCCAGCAGCGGCAAUGCUCCAAACUUUUUUCUGGCCUGCAAAAUUGGCUUGAAAUCGACCUCUAAGCCCUGGAGGAACAUGUAGUAUAUCAACCCCAAGUUGGCCAUUGUCUCUAUGGUCAAUGUGCUUUUGACUGGAAAUAGGUAUUUGCGAGAGAACUGGGUUUUCUGGACAUAAGAUGGACCCAAAAUUAUGCCACCCUGCAAUGUGCGUGCCAAUGUAUUAUUAUUUGUCUUUGUCAUUAAAAUAUCAAUAUUAUAUUUAUAGAUGUGAUAUUCUCAAUGAAAAUUCGUGUUUCACCAGGUAAUCGUUUGUCUCUCGCUAUAAAAUUCUGAUCAUAAAGCAUAGAGCAUAGAGCAUAGAGAUAUAGAAUAGAAUUACAGCUUACUUACAAUAAUGUAAGCAAUGAUGCGAGGUUGGUGCAAAGGUGCAAGGAGAAGCUUGAGAAGGUGGCAUAUAAACAUAAUGAGACCUAGUUGGGUGAAGAAGAGAGGAAGAGUUGAAAGCAAGGCAUUCUCAGCCUUCCACACCCCAGUCACGUGUGUUAUCGUUUUAUUAUAACAUACCCUCGUAACAUCUGCUUCUACUACCCCGCCAUUGUCUCGUAGCGCAUCAUCCAUUACGUACGAUACUUAUAUUUACAAUUUUCUUUUUAUAAAAGCGUUGUUAAAGAAUUGGAGGAUUCAAACAAAAGACCUCAAAUGCAAAAGAAACUGUCCUUACCUACUUGAGCUACAAACUCUAUUUACAAAUUAGAUAAUAGGAAUUCAAGGUUUCUGUCAGCCCUCCCAAGCUACAUCAGGACGUCUUUCUUUUGCCUUGGAUGAAGUCCAAAUCGCUAGAAACACCACUUCCAUCAAAGACAAAGACAAAGACUAUGACAAUGAAACUAGAAAAGAAAAGUGAUUGUUAUCAGACAACAAAAAUUAAAGAGGAAUGAAUAGAAAUCAAAGUUUCAAUACUGAGGGAUUAAUUAGUUAAUUAGUUGCGCCUAAACUAGCUGUAAACUCUUCUUAAUUUGUUGGCUGUUAGUUCAGUUUGGUUGGCAUCCACGCAUUAUUAGACUUUUAUUUUUAUUUUUGGUGGCAUCCAUAUAUGCAUUAGAAUCUUCUUAUUGAAUUGAAUUGGAUUGGUUGGCUUUUCGAUCUCUUCCAAUUUUCCAUAAAUAAAGUUCUGAUGAAUCUCUACAUGUUUUGUUCUAUCAUAUUGAAUUGGAUUUUCAGCAAUCUUAAUUGCUAACUAAUUAUCACAAUACAACUACAUAGUAUCCUCAGUAGGAAAACGCAGCUCCCCCAUAAGCCUUUUCAACCAUAUAUAGCAGUUCACGAACACCUUUCACCAUAGCCUGAUAUUUGGAAAAUAGUAAGUAAACGCAGGGAGAAGUAAGAAAUUGGAAUCAUUCUAAUAACCAUGUGUAAGUAAACGCAAGAAAAGAAGGAAUUGGAAUGAUUCUGAUGCCUCUUUCUCUGUGUUAAAGUAAGUUUUCUUAAUGUUUUAUUAUUACUAAAAAUAAUUGAAAGAAUGAAAUUUUGAAUAAGAGAUGUGGAUGUCCGACUCAAGCUACCAUAUAAAUUAGUUUACAAAUUAAUGUAUAUAGAAUUGUGGUAUGAGUUAAAGAAAGAGAUAUAAAAUUAUGGUAUAUGAGUUGUAUUAUUGUUGGUGCUUGAUAUGAUAUAAGAACAUGGUAGGCAAGCUUAGUUUGCGCUAGGCACGCCCUCAGUGAGUGAGAAUGAAGGUAUUGAAGAAAGAUUCUGCUACUUUUGAGGAAAGAUUUACGGGACAGGUGUGGUUUCAGUGCGUGUUUGCAGCCAUUACGCUGAUACUGCUGGCGGGGUCGGUGCUUGGGAGGAUGAACUUCAAGGCGUGGAUGAUGUUCGUGCCGCUUUGGCUUACAUUUUCGUACACUGUCGGAGCUUUCAGCUUGUGGGGUGGAGGGUUCUUGUUCCAUUGGGGUGUCAUGGACUAUUCCGGUGGUUAUGUCAUUCAUCUUUCUUCCGGGAUUGCUGUCUUCACUACUGCUUACUGGGUAAAUUAAUUAAAUAAUUAACUACGCUAUUGCUAGUUUUCUUUCUCUCCAUUAGUCAACGUCUACAGGCCUGGUAAUUAUUGAUUAAAUAGUGCAUUAAUUCCUUGUAAUUAUAAAAUAGUGGCUUUAAUUUCUUUCGUUUUCUUCUUGAAUUUAAUAGUGACUAAACUCACACAUACUAUACGGAUGCUAAGACUCGAACUCAGAACCUUUCCAAACCACUGUUACACUAGAAUCAAUAGGAUCGAAUAUAUACAUAUUCCAUAAAGAAUUAAUAGGAUCAAAUUGAUGAGAUUCAAUUACAAGAUUCCCUGAAAAGGUGGAAGAAGAAACAAAAAGUCCUCCCUUAGGUUACUUAAAUUAAAACUGGCUUCUUAAUUAUUCAAAAGUAUCUGUGGAUGAAUCAUGGAUCAUCAGAAUCCUUAGACUUCGCAUCUCAUGCCUUAGACUUCGUGCAUAGUGAUCACAUAUUUUCUAUUCGCAAACUAUCUUUUAGGGUAAAGUCUACUAGGUUGGAAUAUUAUUAUUUUAAUUGGGUUACAAAGUUAUAAUAUUAACGAUGAUGACCUACAAAUAGUUUUAUUUUAUAUGUUGCCCCAUUUUUAAAUACUAUUUUGCCCUAUGUAUAUGGAUCACAAUAUUUAUCAAUAUGUAUAGUUCGGGUUAGGAAACGACAAAAAGUUGAUAUGACUAGGAGCUUAAAGAAUUAAUGAAGCGUGGAUGCAUUAACAGGGGUGGACCAUAUAUAGAUGUGGACAUCAAAAAUAAAAACAAAAACAAAAUUGAAUAUACGAAAUGUGACGGACGUGGUGUUUCAUUUUCAGUUUUUCUAAUAACAUCUUACGGAAAUCAUAUUCUAAAUUACUUCAAGUUAUUCUAACAUACGAAAAGUUAAUAGGUCUAAUUUAGUGGAAAAGAAUAUUAACUUAUAGAUCAGUAGUCUCAUAUUCAAAUCCUCAUAACACCUUGAUAGUGUGUGUGUGUGAAAAACUCCCUCUCUUUUGAAGUUUACAUUACGCUUAUAUUGCAAAAUUAUAUAUAUACAAAAGAGAGUAUUAAUGAGUUAUUAUUGUUUGUUAAUUCAUGAAAAUGAAAUGGUGAUGAUGAAUAGGUAGGACCAAGGGUGAAGAAGGACAGGGAGAGAUUUCCACCAAACAACGUACUUCUGGUGUUAGCAGGAGCCGGGUUGCUGUGGAUGGGAUGGGCAGGUUUCAACGGGGGAGACCCGUACGCGGCAAACACGGACUCAUCCAUGGCCGUCCUCAACACCAACAUCUGCGCCGCCACGAGCUUCUUGGUUUGGACUUGGCUCGAUGUCAUCUUCUUUGAGAAGCCUUCCGUCAUUGGAGCUGUCCAAGGAAUGAUCACUGGCCUCGUCUGCAUUACUCCUGCUGCAGGUACGUAUUACGUAAGUUCUCAAGUUGACUUUUUUCCAGAGUUGAGUAAAGUUGAAUUAUAUGCCUAUGGGUUUAAUCUAGUGAAAAAGGAACUUGAUUUGCAAAACAAUAAGAGUAUAUGUGAGAAAACUCCCCUCCUUUUCAAACCUUGACCCAAAAAAAAACAAAGCAAAGUUGACUUAUAUUUAUCAUCCCAAUUAAUAAAAACAAAAUUAAUAUACUUACUUACUCGUCACAAAACGCAUUGCCUUCCAUUAAUUAAUCCAGAAAAAAUAAGUUUAUUUGACUUUUGACUAUUCAUAUUUACGUUCCCUCACAGACCACGUUCUAGUUCUAUUUGGUAUCCUACUUGGAUUCAAUUUUAUAAACUCAAAAACAAAUUUUGAAGUUUAAAACCACAAAAACUCGUUUGAUAUGCCCCUUUUUAAAAACUCAAACUCAAGAAAAAUUCAAAAGCACCCCUUUAUUAAAAAAAAAAAGAAGAAGAGGUUUUAUAGUUUUUUUCUCUCUCCUCCCUCUCCCUGUCUCUUUCUCUCUCCUUCCACUUCUCUCUCUCUCUCUCUCUCUCUCUCUCUCUCUCUCUCUCCUUUUAUUUUGGAGGUUUCAAUUUGAGAAUUUAGGGUUUCUGAUUUUAAUUUCAAUUUUUUUAGAUCUUAAAAAUAGUUUGGAGUUCAAUACCAAAAAAGUUUUUGAAUCUUAAAAUCACCAUUUGAAAACUCAUAUUUUAAAAAAGAAUCAUAGUUUUUGAAUUUUUUUUUUUUUUUUUUUUUUUGAGUAGGAUACCAAACAAGGCCAAUUUCCUUUAAAAAAAUUCUCAUAUGGUUCUCUAACGUUUUCUCUAAAUAUAUUUGCAUCUCUUUAUAUAUAUUAUUUAGCCAGUUUUUAACAGGAGAGGUGACUCAUGGCAUGUUGUGUUGACCAUGCACAGUCAUUUAAUUAACCAUAUUAACUAGCUAGCUUUUAUUUUACUUUUGUUUGUUCAUAGACUGAUACAAUAUUAUUGUUUAAAUAUGUAAAUUAUUUAGGUCUGGUUCAAGGAUGGGCCGCUAUAGUGAUGGGAGUUAUGUCAGGCAGUGUGCCAUGGUUCACCAUGAUGAUAGUGGACAAGAGGUGGAAACUGCUAUCUGCAGUUGACGACACCCUUGGUGUAGUUCACACCCACGCCGUGGCCGGGUUUCUUGGCGGCGUUUUAACGGGGCUUUUCGCUGAGCCUGAACUAUGUGCACCUAUUUAUCAUUGGAUGGAAUAUUGUGGUCACCUACAUUAUUUGCCUAGUCUUACGGUGUAUAGUUCCGUUGCGCAUGCCGGAGGAACAGUUACUGAUUGGGGAUGACGCAGUGCAUGGAGAAGAGGCAUAUGCAUUGUGGGGUGAUGGGGAGAAGUAUGAUGUUACUAGGCAUGAGCUUUACUCCGACGAUACGUCACACGCUCAAAAAUAUCCAUCCAGUGGUGCCACUCAGGUGGUCUAACUCAAAGUUAUAUAUUAUUUAUGUUAAUAAUCUGUUCCAAAAAGAAAAAAGAAAAAAAAGGCCAAAAAUGAAAAGAGGAAAAAACGAAGUACGAAAAAUAGGUGUUAUUGUCAAUUAUUAUCUUAUUUUCUGGUGAUCUUUUCAAUGUUUUAUGUAAACUGCCUAUUGCCUCCGGUAAUUAUUCAGGGAAAUUUGGAACACCAAACCAUUUUUAACAUGUUUAAGAUUAUUAGCCCCUUUUUUUAAUUUACAAAAUAUAAUCACUAGAGCCCUCUCGAAUAGUGUUACCUUUACUUGAACCCUAGCAUUAGUAUUUGGAUCUUUAUUAGUAACUACAAAGGCUCCAUUUGGUGGAGAGAGACUUUCAUGCAACAGAAAUAACACUUUUUGUUAUCUUCGAUCAAUAGAGCAAUAACAUGCGGGAUAAUUCUUCCACGUGUCAUUGCAUUAUUGACCGAGAAUAGCUAAACAAUGAUAUCCUCGUUACAAGAAAUUUGUUUUUUGCAUUUGGUGGAUGGAUAAAAACACUGGAUUGGAUCCAUAAUCAUACUCCUGUGUUUAGUGGCCCAAGUCCACUUGGAUUGGAUUACUUCUAAAUUCUAUUCCUGUCAAACUCAAUUUUAGUAGGAUUAGGAAUCCCCCCAAAACUAGGGGUGGACAUUCAAACUGGAAAAUUGAAAAACUGAGCCGACAAAAAACUGCAAUUUUGUACAAUUUUAGUUCUGAUUCUUGUUGUGAAAAAGCUUGACUGGGUCAAACCAGACUGACCACGUAUUUUUAAUAUAUAUUUAACCCCAUUACUAAAUUUGUAAGCCUAUAACUAAUCUUUCUCUAAAUCACCUAUAUUUUUUAGGCCCAAUCACCUCCCUUUGCAUUAAAUUAGGUCACUUGUGAAUUUUUAAAAUUCAAAAAAAAAAUAAUUUAAACAAGGGUAUACUAGUGAUUUGCCCCUGAACUUGUACCUAAUUUUCGAUUAAGCCUCUAUCCUUUUUUUUUCGAAAAUUAAGGAUAUGAACUUUUUUUUUCAGCCAAUUUCCCCCCUAUCGUCUAAAUUCUCAACAUUUCAUCCAAUUUUCAGUUAAAUUAUUUUAAAAAAUUACUUUUUUUGAAAAAAUUGAAGAAAAAGAGUAAACCUAAUGCCAACCCCUUCCAUCUCCUCCCUUCCUCCUCCCAUUCUCCCAUGACCACCAUCCUUUACUCCCAGACCAAUCCCCCACCCCCACACCCUUCAAUCCACAGACCCCUCCCUCCUCCUCUCCCUGUUCACCCGUUUUGAUUUCUACUCCUGUGAUGGAAGGGCAAAGUUCCCCAUUGCCUUGAAAACCAUUGACUGGUCAACAAGCCAACUUUCUUUGGUGUGCGAGCGUGCCACUAAUAGCAAUGAAAAAUCCUAGCAGACUUCUUUGAAACAGAUAACUUGCGCCCCAAGUUACUAAUUUGUAAACAAACGAUUAUGAAUUUGGGGGAAGAAUAUCUCCCAAGUAAGUUCUUUUCCUGCCUCAGGCUGGUGAGGACUUCAUAAUUUAUCACAGUAUAAAAUUGGUAGUUCUGGCCAGAAUAGAUGAUAAUAAAGUGGACUGUUUUAGGCAGAACUGCCUUUUACAAAUUUAAGAAGGAAAAACCAACUCUAAAAAGACAAAAAGAUGGCUGGAAUCCCAUUUCUGCCUGGGUAGAAACUUCUAAUCCAGGACGGACUGAGCUGUUAACAACUUCUACUGCUUAGCUUUAGCUGUAAAUCGAUACCAAGGUUCAAUUUUGGCAGAGCUUUAAUAUACUUCAAGCCUUGGGAGGCUUUUGAACAGGCAGAACUGCGGUUUCUUUAGUCUGAAGGGGUAGAAAUGGCUGGACUUGAGGAUUUAAUGAGCUGGAACUGCACUGUAAAAUUUGUUGAGGUUUUCAUAUUUGUGAAAACUUAAACUCUGCUUGGGCUUUUGCUGAACCAAAUUUGUAACGAGAGGAGUCUCGUAUUGGAUGACUUAUUUCUCUGAGUUUGAACUUGGAAGUUCUGAUCUACGGCUGGCUUCUUUUGUGGUUCAAAUGAGCCUUUGGUUGCCCCAAUUUGUUUUGAAGGUUCUCAGUGAUCAAGUGAUCAUUUUGAGUUUUUUUUUUGCCUUUGGUUGAUGUUUUUUUUAUUUUUUAUUUUGAUCGUCUUUUGAUUGUCUAACUUUUCCUAUAUUUAUAAGAAAUGCUUUGAAGUAGGGUUUCUUUCUUUUAAUAAUGGGUGGCAAAAAUUCUCAAAAAGAUCUUUCAUUUUUCUAUACAAAGAAGAAGAAGUUUUUAUCAAUUGCUGGCAGAUAGGCUUUCGAUAGUCAGUUCUUUUUAAGACCAAUCACUUCUCUGUUUUUUUGAAAGAGAACCUAACCCCUCUUUAAUUCCAACUGCCCCUUUGUGAGAGCUCAAACCGUGAUGUUCAGUUUGCUUUUCCAGUUUGAACAACUCCUUGUUUUCCUGCUUAUCUUUUUUUGGGAAAUUUAGCCUGCGUAUCCCUUGAAAGAUGGUGCUUUCUUUGGAGUAGAAACAAUAUCUCUGAAUAUAUAAAAGGGUUUUGAUCUUUGUGGUGGUAGAGAUUUCAGAGACAUCCUUUCUUUCUGCCUCCCUCUGUCAACUCUCUUAUCAACCUAGUUGAUUUUGUUUGACUUUUCUAAGUCAGAGAAAAACAAUCACGUGGGUCUGUUUUCUUUUGAGUUUCUACUUUUUACUUUGAUCAUGCCAAGCCCAAUUUAGUUUCUUCGAAACCCAAGCUUGAGAUAGGUUCUAGGCCGGGCUUUUGUUGGAUUUUGGACCUUUGGUUCAUGUUUAUUCUCAGAGUCCAGACUUCUCGGGUCCAGCAUUGUUGUCUUUGUUAUUCUGGGCUUUGUAGCGUUUGGGCUGGGUGCGCAAGAUUUUGGCCCAAACAAUCCCUUUUUGUUCUUUCAACCACACACUCAUCACCACCAUCCCCAACAGACCUUCCGCCGUCGCCGCCUCUCUCUCUCUCUCUCUCUCUCUCUCUCUCCACACACACACUCCCUCAAUUUCCCACCCCAUCUGUUAAUUUCAAUAUCUCCACACUCGAAAAGCUCACAGUCGAUCCAAGCCUUUCAAUGCCUCCCAUCUCAAGCUUUUUCCAAAUUCACACAAAACCCAUCAACCAAAACAUCAAAAAAUUCAAUCUUAAACACUUGGAUUUGGAAAAAAGAUCAAAAUCAAAUAAAAUCUAAUAGAAUUUAAAUCCAUGCCACCGGAUAGCAUUUGGGGUGGGAGGUUGUGGGGAAGGAGAAAAAAGAGAAGGGACGGUUGGGGUGGGGUGGAAGGGCCAUUGGAAGUUAUAUGGAGAGAGGGAGCGUAGAGGGGCCAGAAAAAAUAGAUGGAGAGGGUAGGGGUGAGGGAGAGAGUGAUUGGUUGGAUGGGCCUCUCUCUUAUUAAAAUAUUUUUUCUUUCAUUUUAUAUUUCAUAUUAUUGUAUUUGUGUAUUUAAUUAUUUUAACAUAUAAAAUGACCAUUUUGCCCUCAUAUUUAAUGGCAAAUUGGAUGAAAAGAAGUUCAUAUCCUUAAUUUUCUAUAUAAAAAAAAUAAAAAAAUAAAAAAAAAACAAGACAGGGGGUCAAUUGAAACCAAAGUACAAGUUCUGGGGGCAAAUCACUAGUAUACCCCAAAAACAAAAAUUUCAAUCCCAAUUAUGGGCAAAUUAGACCGCAUUGGAAUGAAUGAAUUUUUUUUUUUUUAUCAAAACCAAACCAAAUCAGACAAAUAAAUAGUGCUAGUUCCGGUUUGGGGUAAGAACCAGAUCGUGCUUACCCCUAACGAAAACUAAGGGAUAAACUCGGAUAUGCUACGAUCGAGUGCAACCCAACCCCGACAGAUUAGGUUGCAGUCGUCUCCUCCAAUCUUCAUCCCCAACAUUGAGCCUCCAUCACCUCGACGAUAACUCAGCCAUCUCCGACAAACUUGAGCAAUUUCUGGCAAAACCCAACCAUCUCCUGCCCAAACCAUUUCAUCACUGAUCAUAUUUCUCCUAUGAACUUCUUCAUCAUAAGUGAUCAUUUCAUCACUGAGAUUCUCAACAUCUUGUGUUUUUGUUAGAUUGUAUGUGAGUUUUGAUUAUUAAAUUCUUUGACAAUAUUUGAGUAGUUUAUAGGUUAGGAUAAAGCUUGAAUUCACCGGAAAAUUUUCAUUUUUUCUAUAAAUAUUUGACAUACAAUAUGGGAUUUUUUUUCAUUUUCUCUUUUACAUUUCCUGGGUUUUUGUAAUGUUUGAAAUCUAUGUGUGUCUGGGACUGCAAUUGGGUAUAUUCUUUGAAGGCCCAAUUUUGUCUUUUACAAAUUUACAACUGCUAUUAAAUUUCUAAUAUCCAUUUAAGCAAUUAACGGAGCGGAGAUGAUAAAAUUUGUUUAAAUUUAUAUUGAUUAUGAUUAUUUAUAAAUUUAUAUAGAUUAUGGUUAUUUAUAGUUUAUUUUUUGGAUUUAUAAUUGGGAUAUUUGUAGAAAUGUCACCUGAAAUUCUACCUUAGUUUCAAUUUGUUAACUGAAAUUUUUUUUUAAGAGAAAUGUCACCUGAAUUUUUCAAAAUCUAUCAUUUGUCACUUGACUUUAACAUCAUCCAAUUUUCCAUCUAUUUUGAAGGGUAAUUUAGUCUUUUUAUUUUCAAUGGUAUUUUAAAAAUAGAAAAUUCAUUAUAAAAAAAAAAUUAUAUAUCUUUUAAAUAAUUAAAAAUAAAAAGAAAAAAUUGUGAAAAAAAACUUCUCUCUUCUCCCUCUUUAUCUUCCACACCCACCAUCACUACUCUAUUUAAAUACAAUUUAAAAUAAAUAAAUAAAUAAGAGUUAACUUAAUAAAUAAAUAAUUUUUUUUAGAACAUAAAAAUCAAAAAUCAAAAGAAUGAAUGACACCACCUCCAAUCCUCCAAUCCCAACCGCCAGCCACCAUUGUUCUCUCUUCUCUUUCUCCCCAACAACAACCCACCACCCCAACUCUGAUCCAUCUCACCCCUUAAUAUAUAUCUCUCUCUUCCUCUCACAAGAACAAACCCUGCCCCACCAUCCCUAGUUGCUCACCCUAGAUUUUCCAACCCAUCUCCACCCCAAUCUCUGCCCAUUCGAGGGUCACCCUACUUCUCUGUCUCCAUCUCUCCCAUUUGGCCAUGCCCAUCCUUCCCACCUCUCCGUUGCUGGGUCCUUCCUUCCCCCGACAACCCCCUUCCUUUUUUCAAGUUUUUUUCCUUUCACUAAUUAUUUAUUUAUUUAUUUAUUUUUUGUCUGAUCAGUUUUUAAAAUUUGCCAAUAUGUUAAAAAUGGAAAACUUAGGUUUUUACAUUUAACCCCCCAUCCAUUUUUACAUUUAAGCUUUUUUUUUUUUAAAUAACAAUUUUUUUCAUUUUAAAAAUACCCUUGAAAAUGCAAAAACUAAAAUACACUUCAAAAUAGAUGGAAAAUUGGAUGAUGUUAGAGUCAGAUGACAAAUUUUAGAUUUUGAAAAAUUAAGGUGACAUUUCUCUUAAAUUUAUUUCUCAUGUGACAAAUUGAAACUAAGGUAUAAGUUCAGGUGACAUUUCUACAAAUAUCUCUUUAUAAUUUUUAUGAUUUUUAUUUUAUGAGAAUUUGACUUUUUAUCUCCAGGUAUUGGAAAAUUACUGUUUUUAUUUAUUUUAUUACAAAAUUGUUAUUUUUUAUGUAGAAAAGUUCAAAAUUAAAAUGGCAUGUUUAACUUAAUCCAGUUUGACACCAAACAUAGGAUUUGAUUGGUGUUAUCCACUCCAAUCCAAUGCAAUUCAAUCCUACUUCAUAAUCCAAUUCAAUUCCGGUCCCCAAACAGACUAAAAGAUUCAAAAGAACUACACAAUUAAACCUUAUUAAUUCCCUUCAAGUAGUGCUUGAACCUUACUUGAAUCUCUUAAUUAGUACCAAUGUUUACAAAGAGGGAUUCAAUUAAUCUGUAAAUAGACAUCAGUUGAAUCCAAAGUCAAAUUCAAAAGAUAUUUAACCCCAAUUUAUAGACCUUAACUAUGUACAAAUGGUUCAGCCCUAAGGAAAGAGAGAAAAUCCUAAGGAACCCCUUGGGGUCAGUGGCCUCCCUCCCUCCCCUCUCCACUAGUUCUUCCCUACUCUCCUAUCCUCCCCUCCCCUCCCCUCUCCUCUCAUCUCCUUACAUCCCUAUUCCCCUCGAUACUUCUUUGUUUUUGUUUUUGUUUUUUUUUUUUUGGUGGUGUGAAAUCAACUGUUGUGAAAUGAUGUAGUCGUCAUGAUAGUUGUCAUCUUUCAACCCACGUACAUGAGAAUUUGGCUCCAUUUGUCAUCCUUCAACAUGGUUUAGAGCCACAAGAUGGGAAAAAUGUCGGGCUGCAUCGCGUUUGGGUUUAACCGGUGAAGCUGUGGCUUUCUGUCGGCUGUUGAGGAUGUGGAGCGAUGGCCUUGCUUCUUAAUUUGUUUUUGUCUAAUAAUUUCCAUGAAUCCAUGAACUGUAUAGCAAUUUGGUGUGUGUGUGUGUGUGUGUGUGUGUUUAUUUAUUUAUGUUUAGGAGGUUUUAUUUCUUUUUAGCUUUUACGGAUCUCUCAUUUUUGCUGAUGCGCAGCGAAUUUGUAUUAGAGGUUCGAGUAGGUGUGCUUUUGGUUGCUGAGUCAGGGAUUAUAGUAAUUUUGUGGAGAAGAUUCGUGUUGUUGUUGCAUUUAGUCACUGGAGAAGAUUUACCAAUAUUCAGAACCAUAAUUGCUUUGUACUUUUUUCAUAAAAAAAAUUAUUAUCGAAUAUUCAGAAGGCAUUUAAUUCCCUUUUUCUUGAACCGUUGGUCAUCUAUGUUGCACGGGUAUGUUGAUAUGAUACGAUAAGAUUCAUCGAUAAGGCAAAAUUCCAAAAAACUAGGAUAGGGGUACAACAUCGAUACGGUGAUUAAAAUAAUAUAUAUUUAAAAAUAAUAUAAAUAGAAAAAAUUAAUAUUACAUCCAUCAUGUCAUAAUCAUCCAUCAGAAGUGCAAAACAUAAAACUAAACACAAAAUACAAGUCUCCAUAAACAAAACACAAAAUACAAGUCUUCAUAGGAUUGUUCAAAUCAUAAAAAAAUAUAUAUAUAAAAAGCAAUACAAAAACAAAAUUUCUAACUUCAUUCAUCAUUGUCAUCAUAGGUAAAUAUGAUUGCUUCUAAUUCCUUCUUCCUAUUUCUUCUUCUUUUAUAGUUAUUCUCUCCCAAAUAAAAUGAAGACCUAGCUUCUAGCUUAAGAACACACACCAAAUCAAAGUUACUCAAGGCAAACAAAACUCACCUUCUAGAGGAACAGAAAAACUGGGAACUGAUACACAAUAAAAUAAGAGAAAGCCAAAUUCACCGGUUCCUCAAGAGUACAUUUUACAAAUUAAUGACACAAAGGGAGUUUUGCAAAUGAUCAAUACACCAGUAGAUUAGUUAAAUAUAAGGUGCUUACAAAACAAAAAAAUCAGGAAUCGAUUAAAUACAUAGUUGGUCAUUAAGGUCUACAAGAAUCGAUUAAAUGUCUUUCCAAUGAUAAAGUUUUUUUCUAGUUUUUGGAAAUACUUAAUAGUGUUGUUUUUGCAGCCAAGUUAUUUUAGUUAUGUGAGACAAAUUGUAUAGAAAAGUGAGAAGUAGAGAAAGACAAUAGAAAUUGUUCUUAAAAGUAUCUUUUGUGCUUCAUAAAGCACCUGUACUGCUAAUUACCAUAAUAAGUGUAUAGGUUACAAAACAUAGAAAUUGUGGAGAUUAUAAACUUCUGUAAAAGAAAACGACACGAUUUUAAUUAGCGUGUUUAUGUUUUUUUUUUUUCUUUAAAGAAACUAUUUUCUAACCUUAAAAAGAUCCAAAUAUACCACUAAAAGUAGGUUUUUUAUUUGGGGAGAAUAGAUGCUUUAUUAAAAAUAGAGUAAUGCUACACUUAUCACAUUUUUAUCCCACAUUUCUAUACCGCAUGAUGUGGCAUACCCAUAUUAUAUGCCACAUCAAUUAAAUCAAUGAAGUGUAUUUUAAUUAAGACAAUUAGAAAAACAAAUACUAGAAUAAAUCAUAAAAGAAAAGAAAAUAUUAAAUAAUUUUAAUUGAUGUGGUUGUGUACCUCAGCUGUUACAUAAGAUGGUAUAAAGAUGUGAUAUACAAAUGUGGUAAGAGUAGCAAUAUUCUUAAAGAUAAUAAGCACCAUAAGAGUUUAUAAAAGAUAGCACUAAAAGUAACCAAUACUAUUCAAAACCCGAACAUUAAAGACAUAAACAAAUGCAUAAAAAAUUAAUACUAGCUUACUAAUAUUACUAUUAUUACUAUAGCCCCUUCACUCACGCCAGAGGAUGAGGAGAUGGAAAUCCUGAAUCAUUAGGAACUCAAAGAAGCCAAUAAUUUAUUGGGCAAUUUCCAAGACCAUGGCCAAGCACAAAAAAUGAGACCAAUGCUGCAGGAAAGAAACAAAUGGAUAUUGGACCAAAGGCUUGUUGCACUAAUAAGUUCCAUAUCCAAGAGACCAAUGGGCCUCGUGAAGUAUAUUUAGAGCAAAGUUACAUGGGAGCUUCUAUAGUGAGUGGGAAGUUAUAAGGGGUGUUUUUGAGGGGUAUGUAAGAGCCGUUGGAUUUCAUCCAACGGUGAGUUUUUAAAAGAGGGUGCAUGUAGAAUCGGGUUGAAAUCUAACCCGUUAGAAACCCAACUUCAGUUGUUCCCCUCUUUCCCUCUCUGUGAAAAACUAAAGAACACAAUCCUUUCUUUUUGAAUGUAAAGCAAACCCACAAUUAGAAGGAUCCAAAUCUCCCAAACCUUAUAGUCACUCCACUGUCAUUAGCUCGUUGGGAGGCCUGCGAUCUAUGGUAUCCUGGGUAUUACGAAGAAUGGCUCUUACCUAGCUGUUGCCCUGUUUUGAUUCUAUGGCUCAAGUGAAAACCCCUUCUCUUUUUCAUUCAGCUGACAAGAUUCCAGAUGAAAGCAAAGUAGCAUAUCUGUUUUUGUAGCUAGAAGCCGCAGCAGCAGUUGUUCCUUGAUUUUGGUAGAGAUGGAGUCUCAAAUACCAAAGAGUCUUCUGUAAUGUCCACCACAUUGUUUCAAGCUGACUGACUUCAGAGCUCCCGAUUGAUUUUGAGAGGUAAGUUCACUUGCUGGAUUGAUUUUAUUGGGUUAGGUUUAUUUUUUGUGAGGGUGGGAAAUUCGUCAUUUGUGGCAUCAAUAAUGUGUCAUUUCCUUAUGAAUAUUCAAUAUACUUAGUUCAUUGUUGUUGGUCGGGGUGGAAAAUUAUGAAAUGUAGGUAAAAGAACCUAAACUUAGGCUUAAUGACAUUAGGAGUAAGCAGUUGGAGAGGAUAUUGGGUGAAGUUCUGUAAUUGGUGGUUUGAAUUACAUUUGUGUUCUUAGUUGAACAUGUUGGUUCUAAUGUUAUUUUGACCAGAUUAUUUCCCAAGAGAUGACGUAACUUGUAUGAAAUUUUGCUUGUGUUUUGUGUAAUCGGAAGUUAGGCUAUGCGUAUUUUGUGUCAAUUUGGGCAAUGUUUUGUGUAAGUGGAAUGCAUUGAUAUGUUGUGAUGCAGUAAUGACUGAUUAAUGAAUGAAUAAUUGCUAUGCAGUAAUAUAGAAGUGGAUCAAUAAUAUACGUAGAUAAAAUGUCUGGGGGCUCAGAGAGUGAUGAAUGUGCAACAGCUAAUGGGAGGGUUUAUAUUCCUGAAGUAAGAAAUGAGGAAACACCAGCAGUUGGGAUGAAGUUUGACUCGCUUGACCUCGUUUACAAUUUCUAUAAUAGAUAUGCAUUCUUGGCUGGUUUUGGUAUUCGACUUCAUUCUAGCUUUUGGGGGAAAAAUAAGAAAGAGAUUUUGAGGAAAGAAUUUGUAUGUUGCAAACAAGGUGCAUACAGGAAGGAUGAAACUCGGGAGAGAAAAAGACAACGGGGAAUAAGUAGAUGCAAUUGCAAAGCAAAGAUUGUGGUUGUGAAGAGAAAUGGGAGCAAGAAGUAUACCAUUUCUCUUUUUGCAGAGGGACACAAUCAUAAGAUGACACCCUCAGAAAGAAUGCAUUUAUUGAGAUCACACCGUCAUAUUUCAGAUUCUACAAAAGUACUCACAAAACAGUUGGGUUCAGUUAAUAUUCCCAUUCAUCAGAAGGUAAGUAUUUUCGAGGUGCAAUCCGGAGGAAUGGAUAAAAUCGGUUUUAUCAAAAAAGAUAUCUACAAUCUUGAAUGUAGUGUGAAUGGGAAGCUGAGGAACCACGAUGUUGAACUAGUGACCGAGUAUUUUAUGGCUGAACAGAAAAAAAAUGAGGCUUUUUAUUUCAAGAUUGAGGGAGAUGGGCACGACAGGUUUAGUCGAUGUUUUUGGGCAGAUGCAACUUCUAGACGGGCGUAUGGGUUUUUUGGAGAUGUUGUUGUAUUCGAUACCACAUUCAACACGAAUCGAUACGACUUGACAUUUGCACCAAUGUUGGGAGUUAAUAACCAUGGUCAGACAAUUGUGUUAGCAUGCGCAUUUUUGAGCAAGGAAACGACUGAGUCGUUUGUUUGGAUGUUUGAGGAGUUUAAGAAAGCCAUGCCAGGUGGGGAACCUAAAACGAUCAUUACAGAUCAAGAUGCGGCAAUGGCCAUAGCGAUUUCAAUAGCCUUCCCGAGUACAUUUCAUCGACUUUGCAUAUGGCACAUCACAUCAAAGUUCUCUGUUAAGUUACCACGUGACGCUUAUAAGGAGUAUUGGCCUGAAUUUCAGAAAACCAUAUGGGAUACUGACAAUAAGGAUGAGUUUGAUGCAAAAUGGAAUAUUGUGGUUACAAAGGCUGGUUUGACUGACCAUCCAUGGCUAAGUUCAAUGUUUGAUUUAAGGGAAUCUUGGGUUCCAGCCUACGCACGACAAUUUUUUGCCGCUGGAAUGUCAAGCAGCCAAAGAGCGGAAGGUUCUCAUGGUUUUUUCAAGCAAUACAUAUCAAGGAGAAAUUCGUUGAUGGAUUUCAUAAUACGAUUUGAGAGGGCACUUUCUCAUCAACGUGAAAAAGAGUUAGUUGCUGAUCACGUAGAUGCAUUUGAAGUGGCUCAAUGUCUUCUACCGAUGCCAAUGAACAAACAAAUGGCUACCUUGUACACAAGGACAAUGUUUCAAAAGUUUGAGCAAGAACUAAUACAAAGUACAGCAUGUUUCCUAGAGCUCAAAACAGAGGAUGCUUGUAAAGUUGUGUUCAACGUGAGCGAAAGGAAAAAUUGGGAAACAAGGGUGGCAGAAGUCGUAUAUGUCAAAGAUUCUGACCACGCAUCGUGUAGCUGCAAAAGAUUUGAAUUUGUUGGAAUUAUUUGCAAGCACAUCCUAGCAUUGUUCAGAAGGGACCAGAUUGAAUAUAUGCCCGAUAAAUAUAUUUUGAAGAGGUGGAAGAAAACUGCGAAAUGUGGAUUGGUGUCAGAUGCAAAUGGCAACGAAAUUAAAGACUGUGCAGAUCCUGGCCUUCUAAUAAAGCGGAGUACAAUGUCUCGACUUGCUUCAGAUGUGGUUGAGGAUGCAUUAAUGAGUGAAGAAGGAUGUGAGCUACUGUCAGAGACUCUAAAAAGUUUGCAGGUGAAGUUGAAGUUGCUGAAGGAUGGACCAAGUAAUAACGAAGUUGGAGGGUCCAGCUCUCAAACACAAUAUAUGAAAGACCCUAAGAGAGUGAGGUGCAAAGGAAGGUCGAAAGGAGUAACGGGAGCAAAGGAAAAGGCAAUGAAGCGAGGGAUUAGACACUGUCGGGAGUGUGGACACAUUGGUCAUGAUAGAAGACAAUGCCCAGCCUUGAACACACCGUAAGAUGCUAACACUAUUUGUAAUAACAUCUAAAAUAUGAAAAGGUAAAAUUUUUAUGUGCUUGUGUUUGAUGUUUAUGCAGGACAUCACCGUCGAACAAUGACGAAUCAACUCCAAUACAUCGUAGUGACCCAUUAUUCGACGAUUUUGACAGGAUGCACAGACCAACUGAAUGAUUGAUAUUUGUAUUAGACGAAAUGUGGUUGUUAUCAAGAUUAAUGAUCAAGCGAAGUUUUAUAGAUUCAGUUUUUGAAUGUUAUUGUGUUUUUGUUCAUGUCCACCGAUGAGCUCUUACUAUGUCCACUGGUAAUUGAAAUGAAAAUUUGCUUGGUUUCAUUCUUCCAAGACAUUUGGAGACAUGUUCAUUUUACGUCUUCUCCCUAUUUAUAAAUUUUCAUAGACAUUUGAUCAAGUAUGAAAUUUGUAGUUAUGUGAAGAAGCAAUGACUCUUACCAUGUUAAAUGGGCAGUUUAGGGUGAAAUUUGUUUUAACAGAGAUUCAUUUUUCAAAUCCUCAGGGUAAUGCAGCAAUUACAGCAGCCAGCUGUUGUUUCCAUUACCAGUAAUCAUUUCCAGCAGCAGCCACUUUUUCCGACUGGUUAUUAGGGGCACGAUUUUGUACACUUUUGUAAGUGAAGGAUACUCGAAGCACUUUGUUGGAACAGAGCAAAUAGAAACCAGCGGGUAAAAAAAAAACAUAACAUUGCAGCUAAUUACAUUUCGAUACAUAGGUGAAAAAUAUUAAAGGGUACACUAACUUACAUAAAUACUCAUAAUUCCACACACAAAAGAACAUUUGAUUGCAAAACAUAUUAUGUGCUUCCUCAUAGCAAUACCACGAUCUCCCCAACCAACUGAACAACGGUAGCCACAAUCACUGGGUCGUACUCGUCAGCUUCUUCUUAGCAGGUCUCACAUGCUUAUGGCCACUCAUAUCCCUAGUGAUAUACACGAAAUAAAUCUUCAGCAAUAUUUGGAAUUUUAUUAUAUAUAAAUAAACCAUAAACCAUUCAGUAAACAAUGUAUAGCACAUGUUAUGUAACUUAUGACUCACGUGUCAGUUUUUUUUUUAACACAUUAGUACUCCAGCUCUUUAAUGUAAAUGGACAUGAUAAGGAGCAUUUACUGAUUCCCGGCUUUCUGUGAUAUUGACUGCUUCUUGAAUAAUAUUUCCAUAUUUGCAAAAUAUAAUGUUAGACAUUAUAACACAUGAUGACUUGCAAUACAUAGUCCCAAUAAUUAUAUAUGAAGCAAAUGAAACUGAUAUUUGUGUUAUUUUAAGUUAGAUAAUGACAUUAAGGGAGUAUAUGUGCAAUACCACGGUCACCCUCAACCAACUGAACAGCGGUAGCCGCAAUCACUUAGUCGUAUCGGUCGGCUUCUUCCGAGCAGCUUUGACGUGCUUAUGCUCAUUCAUGUCACCCCCAUCGUCUAGUAUCUCUCUCACAGCAUCAGGGGACACAUAGUUCCAAUCAUAACUUGUAUGAGUAGUUGCCGCAAAUGCUCGGAAUUUGUCGAAUCCUUCGUUGAAUGCCAACUCCAGUUCAGUAUGGUGCUCUUCGCAUCGCAUAUGGUUCAUCAAACAACCUUUGAUUUCAUCAUUCAUUACUGUAUCCAACUCCUCAGCUUUCAGCUUCUUGCUAUGACUCAGCUUCAAGUACUUGUUCUUUUGGGAUAACGCUUUGUUCACCCUAAUGUUAAGAUCAGCCAAAAUUGCCUCGUCUUCAACACAUUUCUCGUGCCAUGAAUUGAUCAGUCUGGAAUUAUAAUCCAGCUUGCCACUGACUGCAUGUAUUGCCUGUAAUGGAUCAUCGGAGUCCCCCUCACUCCCAAAUGAUGUUGAAAAAGGAAGGGGUCGGCGAGUACAAUGUGGAAAUAGAACCUACGACUCCAAUUUCUCAUGUUCGAUUGUGUUGUUGGCGCCUGAAGAGGUUGACAUGCUUGAAUAAUCCUCUUUGUUUUGGGAGGAUGAGGAUUGCAUAUGCAAUUUCGUUUGAGAAAGGGAACAUAGGUUUAUAGACCAACAUACCAAAGCUUGUGUGUAGUCAACAUAUGUACUUUUUGGCGGGAAUUUUUUAAAAAUAGGUGUCAGGUUUUGCUUUUCAAGCAUGUCAACCUCACACUCUCCUGACACCACUGAUAGUGGUUGAAACAAAGUCAAUGGAAGUGACAUCUACUUAGUUAACUCAACCAAACUAGUUAGGAUUAAACUUAGAUUGUAUCAGACCAAAAAAUAAUUUCUACUUUGUCAACCAAAUAUUUUUUGGCGGGAACCCUUUUCUUGGUAUUACUAUCACCCCUUUCAUAUAAAGGGAACCCUUUUCUUGGUAUUACUAUCACCGAAUCUGUCUCCAUCUACCGAUACUCUCUCAAGCAAACAAACUCAUUCCCCCCAAAGAAUGAGCAUAAGCACAACCAAGUUUGAUGUGAGCAUAAUAAACACCCCUCCAAACAAAGACCGGCUUCGACACGCAAGUGAGUCACCAGACAAGCAAUGUCACAUUGCUAGACAGAAUGACCAUUUUGUUGGAAGUUUUGAGUCUGAAAGAGUUGUUGCUUUUUGGAAGGACAGGCAUCUUCAACUUGGUGAUGAAAUCCAAAGGGCAAGGGCACGGUUGGAAUUUGUGGAAGGCCAAAUUGAAGAUGACAAAAGGCAGGCCAAUCUGGAUAGGGCGAAGUUGCAGCGCAUGAAGCGUAGACACAAACGACUUCGGAGUGUAGCUCUUCAAAAAUACAAGAACUCAUCUAAUGCAGUGGAGUCAAAGAAGCGUGUGAUGCAAGCUGGAUUCGACUACUUCCGAUCCUAUGCAAAACUCGUCGUACCCGGGUUUGAUUGGUCAUCUAUUACCGUUUCCGACGUCACCAAAUAUACUCAGCAAGGGAAGUAACCAUUUUGGUUCUCGUGUUUGAGCAGAGGCAAAUAAGUGGAAUUGGAAUUUUCGUUACACUCUGCUUCAAAGCUAUUUUGAUGCUAACUACUAUGGAAGAUUUAAACCUUAAUAUUUUGAUGUCUUUAAUUACGAAAACAGAAGAUGCAAAGAGCCCAUCUACUUAAGUCAUAUGUUGCUGCCAUGUCCAUUUGUUUUUUAUCACGUAUCAGAUUUGGACAUGGUUGCAUCAUAUGCAAUGUUGCCUUUAUUUAUUAUAUGUUAGGACAAGGUUUAUGGAAAAGCUUUUGUGAGUGCGUUUGUGACAAGGUUAUGGAAUUAUUAUGUACACUUUAUAUAUUGUUUUUUGUACUGGUUCAUUUCCUACUAUUUCUUGCUUUCUUUAUAUUUUAUGUUUGUGGAAUCCCUCUCAAAGUUAACAUAUACUGUGAAAAAAAUAUUAUGCAACUGAUUAUAUAAUCACUCAUAUAGACUAGGACAAAUAUUCACUAAGGGUUUUAAAAUUGCUUCACUUGUGUGAGGUUAUUGAGAAAAAGUAUGGCAUUAUUUAUGUGAUUGACAUGAUUGAAAAUAUAUUACUGAUUCCCAAUGAGGCGUCAUAUGGACAACUUAUUGAAUACCUGUAACGUGUUAAUAACUCUAGGUGCAGUUGCAUGUGGAUAACUUAUUGAAUACCUCUGACGUGUUGAAAACUGUAGGUGCAGUUGCAUGUGGACAACUUAUUGAAUACGAACUGACGUCUUGAAAGCUAUAGGCGUAGUUGCAAUGAUGGCUUCAAAGCAUGUGCAAUUAUUAUUUAUGUACAUUAUUAUAACAAAACAUAUUAUUGUAUAUAGUGAAACUAAAUAUUGUAUUAUUAGAAAUUAUAUUUCGAAUAUUAUCCGAAAUAUACGUGUUAACGUGAAUUUGGGUUAAGAGGAAAGUGAGUUAUGUAUAAAUAAUUUUCAUUUUCUCAUUUUCUGGGCAUUUUUUGGAUUUUCGUACAAUUUAUUACCUAUGUCCACAGAUUGUUGCACUAAAAAAGCCAAAAUAAUAGCAAGAGGACACCUGGCGCGAUCUCAGCCCGUCACUGAUGACUACUUGCACAAGUGUACGUCAGUCAACAUGGCCACACCCUCCCAUUUUACCCUAAAUUAUUAUUUUAUUACUUUUCCUUACAAAAAUCAGAACUAAUUACACACAAAAAAAAAAAAUUAUCCGAAAAUUGCUACGAACUCAUUGACACUCCAUCUCCGUUGCUGAAUUCUCCGAUUCAUUGUUACGCAUUUUUAAAAUUAAUUCCGAACAUUAACGGGGGAUGCUUGUUGAAGUAGGUUAUUCAAGUUGAAGUUAACAAACAUCAAUACUUAGGGUUAAGAGGAAAGUGAGUUAUGUAACACAAUUUGGAUUAUUUCAUUGCGAGACGAAUGAUUUAUAGGUUCUCCUAGUUUUAUGACGUCACAAGUAGGCCGGAGUAAUUUUGGGGGCAUUUUUACGAUUUUCCUACUAUUUUUUACCUAGUUUCAAAGAUUUUUGAACAAAAGAAUCCAAAAUGUAAAAGAAGAUGACACCUGGCGCGAUCUCAGCCCGUCACUUUUCACUACUUGCACAAGUGUACGUCAGUCAACAUGGCCACAUCCUCCCAUUUUACCCUAAAUGAUUAUUUUAUUACCUUUUUUCUUGAAAAAUUCAUAACUAAAUACACAAAAAUUCAAAAUUAUUUCCGAAAAUUGCUACGAACUCAUUGACACUCCAUCUCCGUUGCUGAAUUCUCCGAUUCAUUGUUACGCAUUUGUAAAAUUAAUUCCCAACAUUAACGGGAGAUGCUUGUUGAAGUAGGUUAUUCAAGUUGAAGUUAACAAACAUCAAUACUUAGGGUUAAGAGGAAAGUGAGUUAUGUAACACAAUUUGGAUUAUUUCAUUGCGAGACGAAUGAUUUAUAGGUUCUCCUACUUUUAUGACGUCACAAGUAGGCCGGAGUAAUUUUUGGGGCAUUUUUACGAUUUUCCUACUAUUUCUUACCUAGUUUCAAAGAUUUUUGAACAAAAGAAUCCAAAAUUAACAAGAAUAUGACACCUGGCGCGAUCUCAGCCAGUCACUUUUGACUACUUGCACAAGUGUACGUUACCGAACAUGGCCACAUCCUCCCAUUUUACCCUAAAUUAUUAUUUUAUUACCUUUUUUCUUGGAAAAUUCAUAACUAAAUACACAAAAAUUAGAAAAACGAUCUGAAAAUUUCUACGAACUUAUUGCGAUUUCAUCUUCCUACUGCAUUCCCUGUUUAAUGGUUAUGCUACAUUAGUAUUUUAUUAUUAUUUAUCCACAAUUAUUAUAAUUAUUAUGAUAUUACUUUUUAGGCUGUCCAUUUGUUAAUUAUAUUUAGUCCAACUUGUUGAAAACAAUUUUAUUUUCCGUGCGAAUAGGCCAUUUGUAGUGCUCAUCGGUUUCUCUGUUCUUCAAUUUGUUAAUUUUUUUAUUUUUUAGGUUGAAGGGAUGUUUUGAAACAUAAUAUGGAAAUAUACAAGUCAUCCAUUGUACUCCUUCCACACAAAACAAUAGUCUACGUCAUUCACUGUUCAACCCCCUAGGUUAAGAAACGUGUAACCAAAUCCUUUUGGAUAUGCUAAGUGGGAAAAUGUCAUUCCCAAGCACUGGUGAAAAGACACCUAUUUACUCCAUGCAUGACUUUUCGUUUACCAAAUAUGAAGAUUGGGGUCGGUGAGCAAAAUAUCUGUGUCAGUAAAAUGUCAUUCCUAGCCGUCUAUGAUGUAAGUAAUCAUUCCGCUAUAUAAUAAAUAUUAUACAUUUAUAUAUAAAACGGUUUAUGACAAAAUACCAACAUUUGAACAACAUUUAAACUGAGCUAGGUAUAACGUAGCCAGCCAACCUAGAAGUGAAGAGAAGCAAGUCCACAAUGCAUCAAAACCGUAAAUUCGUACUAAAACUAAUGCAAAAAUACGUGAUUCCCUCGCACAACAUACUCACGCAGGAUUUUGCACCAAAAAAUACUCUCACGGUGCCAUUUGCAUCGGUUGCAACAAGUCCACAACGCAGGAUUUAUCUUGUCUUCACUAGGCCAGCCUGGAAUAACAAAAUACCAUUCAUUGUUGUUACAAGCGCUGCACCAAUUGAACUGAAUCUUCCCAUAGUCAAACAUAUCUACGAUAUGUCUUGCAACAAAUGCUCCGCGACAUCUUCCUGUCAAAGCAUCCCUGGUUCCUUUCAUAUCAAUGUUGUUACGUUGAUUCAAAGAACACAAGAAUUGUAAUGCAUCCUCUUUUGACUGACCAAUUCCGGACAUACCAAGUAGUCCAACUACAUAUGCCGCUUCCAUAUGGCCUGCCGUGGCUGCAAUGCGCAUCCCAUACAACGCUUCCACCUUACCGUGCCUGAAAAAACCUUGGAAUGCUUCUCUAAAUAUGGACUCAGGGUUAUCGCAAGCCCUGCAUUGUUGCAAGAAAUGCUGGACCGCAGGUCUGGCACGGUACCAGAUAGGAUGGUAUGGGUACUUUGCCAUUGAAAUGGUGUUCCACACUUGUGGACUGUUUGCCAAAGUUUGGAACAAUGGGCACACAGAUGCCAUACGGAAGAGAUCUUCCGAUGAUUCGGUUGCCACGUAUAACAUCACUUGAAACCAAGCGGACUCCGGGAUGAAGGCUUGGGGCAUAUCGAAAUGGAGAUGCUUCCUUCUCUUUCCUCCAACUGUAGUGAAGUGUUUCGAAUUCAUUGAAAAGUUUUUGGAAUGGAACGAUUUGAGGAGUGGCAGAGGGGAUAAAUGAGAAUAUUUUGGGUACACGUUUUGUUUUAGCCUCUGUUUAUAGUGUUUUGAAAAGGUGUUUGCAGUUGGGGUUUUUCCAAGUUGACCCUUUUUCAAGAAACUGAACCCAAGUGAAUUAAAACUGAACACAAAAGAAGGGAAAACGUCAUAACGGUGCAUACAGAGUCAGACAGUCAAAAAGUUCAUUAAAUGGCUAUUUGCAUAGCCAUUUGUGGGAUUAUCCCAGUAUCAAAUUCAUUGAUACAAAUGUGAUGGAUUACUGAGUAGUGACAGAAGGUCCCAUCAUAUACUUUUUCAUUUUCCCACACCCAACUACCCCUAGUAAUGUUAUUGAAAUGGAACCAAUAAUGACGGAUUCUUAUCCAACUAGUUGCCUUAAUGAAAUAUAUAUAAAAUAAUAAAUUUGAAGCAGUGUCCCCUCAUUUUUCCAAAAAUAUAUUUGGUAGUGAAGUAGUUUAUAUUGCUUUUCGGGCUAAAAGAUGUCGCAAUGCCGACGGUACAGGUGUCGACAUCGUGACCAACCCACCAAAUGAUCCCAAGAAAAAGAAAUAUAACUCGAUUUGGGCAGAGAUGAGAGAGAGCUGAGUGACAAGUUUAGGGUUAUGAGUGAAGGGGUAUGAAUGACAACUAUGAGUGAGAAGGUAUGAGUCCGAAGAGGUUUCAGUGAGAAGAUCUGAGUGAGAAGAGGUACAACUGAGAAGAUUCAACAUGUCUUCGUCUUCAUCUCCCGCUCAAACAAAGAGGUGUCAGUAUUGUGGAGCUACAAUGGUGCUUCGGGUUUCAAAAUCUGACAAAAAUCGAGGGAAGCCAUUCUGGAAGUGUCUAACCUCCUAUGUAAGUUUUAAUUUCAAUAAUAUGUAUGUGGGUCAAAAUAAACCCAUGUCUAACUCUGACAGAAUUAUAUUCCAUAUAUGAUGCCUGCAAUUAGGGAGCCACCAGUUGCAAUGGAUUCGAAUGGGUUGAUGUAACCUCCGCUGAAGCAGAACAUCAAGAUGACACGUAUGAUGCUAGAGUGCUGAACAUGCUGAAGUCCAUAAAGGACUUGGUAUUAGUUUUAUUAGUGUAUCAAUGUCAUUUAUUUGUUCUUUUAAUGAUCAUUUAACUGCACGGUUUAAAAGAUUGUGAAAGUUCUCCCGCACAACACAUGUUGCACGCACCACCAAUGAGACCAUUUUACCCAUUUUGUAAUAUUUGGUAACUGCAUGUAUUUCGCAUGUUAUAGAAACGAUAUUGAAUGUUUCUUGAAGGUUUAUUGAAGGUUUAUUGAUAGUUUGCUGCAUGUAUAUGGAAUAUCAUUGCCCCGAAAUUGGAUGUUUAUUGGGGCCACAGGUAUCACUCAAGUAAGAAUGAAGGGGGGAAACGGACCUUAUUCUUUCUUUUAGUAGGAAGAACAACUGUUAAGUUUAAUAUCCUAUUCAAUACGACUUCCCUAUGGUUGGUAUACUUGGGGACUGAAGUAGAUUGCAUCAUUAUUGUGGGCAAGGGCAUGUCUAUUGUGUGUGUUAAGGGAGUAUUGUGUGUAUAUUGCAUGUCUAUUGUGUGUAUAUUGCAUGUUUACUGUGUGUAUAUUGCAUGUCUAUUCUCUGUAUAUGGCAGGCCAAUUUUGUGUAUAUUGUAUGUCUGUUGUGUGUGUAUUGCUUGUCGGUGCGUUUGUGAAUUCUUGUUCAUUUUGUGUAUAUUGUCUAUGUUUCUACUUUUAUACUACUGAGCUGCCGAAAACCUUUCGCAUGUUUAGACACCUAUUAUGAUGCAACACAUUGCGAUUAAUGGUGGCUUGCAUCAACAAUGACAUAUCACUUUGCAAUGAUGUAAUACACUUAAAAAGCCAUCUUCAAAUCCCAAUUUACAUAUGCAGUCUUAAAAUUCCAAUUCAAUGCAGUUUGGUUAACAAACAUGUAAACGUCAUGAAGGAGUUAGCGGUAGAAUUCGAUAAGGACCCGUACGUCUCUAUUGUGUAUUUACAUUAGUUUGAGAAUGGACAUUCCCAAAACCUUCUCAUGUACCAUUUGUCAUCUUCAACCAAUAUCAUGGGAAGUAAGCAUCUCCCCUUGUUAUCUCCGCAGCCAAUUUCAACCGAAAAAAAGGCAUGUUGUGCGAGGUGCAAGUAGCUAACGGAAGCUUAGCGCUGAAAAGCUCAAUGUACUUUAACACAAACAUGCCACAAUCGCCUCUGAAGCAAAACAAGAACUCGAUCAAUUAAACUAAUGACAUUCUAACGUAAUUGACAAUUGAAAGUAAUAAAAUUAAAUUGCAAGUUGUGCUUACUCAUUAGACUGUUGUGGAACAUCCACACGCUCUAUUGGCCACGGACACCACCAAUCUCGGCUGCAAUUGUUUGCAUAAACACCUUCUUCAUAAAAGUCGAUGGUGUUGAGAAGAUUUGGAAGCGUAAUUGAUAGCGGGCCGAGUUCUUCCUUUACGAUGUCAUCUGGAAUUAGUGAAACCUUUGAAUCGUACACUUUGAUUUCACACAAUACCAGAUCAAUCAUUACAGCCACCCAAUGCUUGUACUUCGUCAACAUAAAUGGGGUAUACACCUUAUAGACGGUCUGCCAAUCCAACCCACACGGAGGAACCUUCCCAUUUACAACGUUUAGUAAACUUUUUCUGAUUUUCCACCCAAGCUGCUGUUUUUUUCUUUUAUUAUCCGCAAAGCAAGUACGAAUGUGAUUCUGUGAAAUACAAAACAAUCAAUGGUUAAACACCUCCACUAGUGUGUGUAUGGAAAAUGUGUAAUUAUUAACGGCACUUGGUCAAGGCCGAUGACAUACCAUAAAAAAAACAUCGGUCGUUGUCCAGUCCGCUACUUCUAUCGAAUCUGUCUCCAAUUGUUGUUGUCGUUUCCGGAUGAGAUACAACCCCAAAUCAAUGUGCUGCAACAUGUUUUUCUUGUCAAUCUCAUAAUGUAUGUACAUUAAAACAAAUGCAUAAUCAAUUACACUUACAUCUCCUUUCAGCCAACCAUCAGCUUUCACGAGGGAAGCGAAGAAUUCAAUCUCAGCUUCCACGUUGCCAAAUUGCAUCACCAAACUAUGAAUAUAAAACAGUUUUAGAACACUGUAUAUAAAAAAUUAUAUACAGUCAUGCUUCUAUCUUAUAAUUGCAAGGGACUUACUUUGGGUCAUGGCGCCAUUCCCAACAAAGUUUCAGCAAUUUCACCAGAUCAUCAUGCGGAAUCGCCUUCAUUGGGUCUAACAUCUUCAGUCCGGUUGUCUGUGCCCCAGUUUUUGGAACCAAUUCACUGCCUUCAACGAUCUUCCACAAAGGAAUGAUCCUCUUCCUUUUCCGUAAUUGGACCCCUUGUGCCAGAGCUUUACCUUUAUCAUUCAACCACACGUUCAACUGAGAUAGCACAGCUGUAGGUUCAUCCAAAUCAAUGUCCCCGACAGUAAACUCAAGCAGUGUCCCCUCCGUGCUCUCGCCAGUGUCACCCCCAAGCAACAUAACUUCAUUAUCUUCUUUCUCACAUUCGUUUCUUUGCACUUCCUUUUCCUCACUUCUUUGUGUUUUCACUUCCUUGCCCUCCCUUUUUUUCCUUUGCAAUUUCUCUCCCUUACUGCUUUUUCUUUUCACUUCCUCUCCCUCACUCCCCCGUCUUUGGGCUUCCUCUCCUUUGCUACUUUUUACUUGCACUUGCUCUCCUUCACUUCUUUUCCUUUGCCCUUCAUCUACCUCACUUGGUUUUCCUUGCACUUCACCCCCUUCAAUCCCCUCCUCUUCCUUUUCCUCUCCCUCAUUCCCUCCUCUUCCUUUUCCUCUCCCUCAUUUCUAUUACUUGGCCCUUCACCCCCUUCAAUCCCCUCCUCUUCCUUUUCAUCUCCCUCAUUUCUAUUACUUGGCCCUUCACCCCCUUUAAUCCCUUCAUCUUCCUUUUCCUCUCCCUCAUUUCUGUUACUUGGCCCUUCAUCCCAUUGAAUGUCAUCCAAUUCCCGAUAUCCCCUAAAUAGAUGUGAGACGACACAACGCUUCGUCCUCUGUUUCAGUAAAGCUAGGUCCCUCCUUACUUCCUGCUCAAACUGAGGACCUAAACAUUGGUCCAACAGUUUUUCCAUCCGUAUGACCUUUAAGUGAAGGACGUCUUUUUCCCGCUUUACUUGAAACAACUCGGACCUCAACAAGCUUACCACCUUGUUCAACUGAUCAAGAUCACCACAUGAAGAAGGAAUUGACUCUGCCGAGACAACAGCAGGGCGAUCCUGUGGCCAACUCCAAUAUGGCUGUCUCAUUUCCUCUUCACUCGGACAUAGCGCCCGCAACUGAACUGACUGUUUCAGAAUACAAACCACAGUCAUAUUAAAUCAUUCAACUUCAAAAUUUCAUUCAAUCUUAUCAAUAGUUCUAAGGGCUGCAAAACAAACCUGUUUGCUCUGGAAAAAAUAAUUGUUCAACUUUCUCAUCUCUGGAACAGACGUAGUAGUUCUCCAUCGCAAAAUACGCGGGACAGCGGUCGGAUCAACAACCUUGCAGUAAUUCAGGUCCACCAUUCUAGGAAUUAAUUCAUAUACCCAAAUCUACACAAUUCACAGGACAAAAGUCAUUAUUUAUGUUUUAAAUAAAAACAAAACAUAACUCACAUGAACAUUAUUACCAUGUACCUGGAAAGCAUACGUGAAACCUUUAAAACUCCAGCCACUCCUUUGCGCUUCACCACGCUUAUCCUUCCUGCCCUUCUCAUUUAUCCGGCUUGUUCCCGUUACCUUACUUUUCCCCUUCCCUCUUCCCUCUUCAUUUUGCAAGCUUUUCACAUACUUUGUUGGUGCAGAAAAUAGACUGUCUUGGGUUUUGUCAAAGGACACCGAACCCCACGGAUACCUGUUGAACGCAUCCAAGUCCUCUACAAGGGUCAGGUAAUUUAGAUUGAUGUUCAAAUGUUUGUCCCUUCCCAAAACCACUAACUCAGCAAAGUAAACAAGAGCUAGCUUGUAGAUGUCAUCUUCCUCUGUGCACCUCAUAAAUGCUUCUUCUAAAGCAUUGCAUGUAAUUCCUUCGUCUAUAAAAUAUCUUUUCUGAAGUCUGCUUACAUCACUCCCUCCACUGGAAACUUCAGGCACUUCCCCAAAACGAAGCCCUGUGAUCAAACAGAAAUCCUGACGACUGAACUGAGCAACGUCACACCCUAAUAAGAAACUCAGUCCAUCCAAGUCUUUCACACCCUGCCCCGCUACUCUACGCAACACAGCCCCAUGCACAAUCUGCCCGCUAAACUGAAUCUUAUCUAUAUUCAGAAGAUGGCCAAAGCAUGAUGUCUUGAAUUGUUCUAAUUGUUCCGCACUCAACUUCACUCGAAUUGCAGCUAGAGAUGAAUUUGCAUGUGAGCAGUUGUUCACCCGUGACGAAUAUGCCUCUGCCUCUGGCCAUACCAGCUCCACGUUGGAUCCCAUUUCCUGAAAUACAAUGUGAAAUAACGUGAACACAUAUACUACCACGUAUUUGCACAAUCACAACUAGUCAACCAGGCACAUUACAAAUUUUACAAAGUACAUGAGCAUACGGAUUACUGAUCACAAGCUUUAACAUCAUCAAAGCAAUAUGACAAAAUUUGUGCAAAUACCUGUUAAUGCAAUGAUUAUGUGAAUUACAAACAAUUUCACGUGUUUUAUUUAUGGAUCCAUACUCGUGUGAGUGCAAUGUAGGCACGUUCUGCACUUCACACACAUGACAAUUAUUGUCAUCUCAUACACAACACAAAAUAAAUAAAUAAGAAAUAUAGUGGAAGGAAGCAAAGCAAAGCAUCUACUCUGCUAUCUGCUUGCUAAGCAAUUGCCACAUCCUUCUUUCUUUCUAGCUUUUUCUUCAGUCACCCACAAUCGUCAUAGAUCAACCUUCAUUUCAAAUGCUUUGCACUUUUAUUCAUGAGUUUAUUAUUAUCUGUUCUCAUUUCUCAUAGGCAAAUUUAGUAACAAAUGAAAUCAUAUUUAUUUCACAAAAUAUAUAAAUUCUAGUGCCAGAGCGGUACUGUUCACUCUGCACUGCUUCAAAUGUGGAAGGUUUUGAGCGCCUCCUCCAAUUUAACACCAUUAUCUUAUUCAUAUCAUUACUGACAUGUUAUUGACAUGUUAUUGAGAUGUUAUUGACAUGUGAUUGACUCUAUUUUCAUUCGUUUUUUAACAUAUACCCAAGCAAAAAUUAACAUGCAAUUGAAGCACAAAUAAGAGAUGCCAAAUCCAACAACAUUGAUGGUACAAAUUGGGGAAAACAUUACUCUAACCCUAAACUCAAAUUCCUUAAAUUACUCAUCAAUUGCUUUGCACUUCUAUUCGUGAGUUUAUUAUUAUCUGUUCAAAUGUUUGUCAGGCAAAUUUAGUAACAAACGAAAUCAUAUUUACUUCAUAAAAUAUAUAUAUAUAUAUAUUCUACCGCCUCUUCUUCAUCUGCACUAUGCACUGCUUCAAAUGUGGAAGGUUUUGAAGGCCUCCUCCAAUUCAACACCAUUAUCUUAUUCAUAUCAUUAUUGACAUGUUAUUCACUUGUUAUUGACUUGAUUUUCAUUCUUUUUUUAACAUAUACCUAAGCAAAAAUUAACAUGCAACUCAAGCACAACGAAGAGAUGCCAAAUCCAACAAAAUUUAUGCUACAAAUUGGGGAAAACCAUUACUCUAACCCUAAACUCAAAUUUCAUAAAUUACUCACCAAAUGCUGGUUAUUGCAAGGGGUCUGUGUCGGGUCUUUCUGUUUCUUUGCUCCACAAAUGGAACUUACCACUUCCAACGAUUACAGCUUCUCCCCUUCCCCUUCCACUGCUUCACCCCUUCACUGAUUUGGAAUCCACACCUUUGCCCCUUCUACUCCAAAUAAAUACUUUUUCAGGGUCUGGAGAACGGAAUGGCGAAUCGUUGCCUUCAACUGUCGUUAGCCGUUGCCUUCAUUGGGUAUCUCAGACCUCUGGGUUUUAGAGAGAUGAGUUCUUUCUGUUCAAACUUCGAACUUGCCUCUUCUUCUUCUUUUUCGGACGUGUUUCCCUCUUCUUCUUCUUUUUGGACGUGCUGGAUAUUCAAUUCGGGUUUCGGUUCCUCACCUACCCAACUGUGAAACUUUAUCUCAAUUCUCCCCAGCCCUUGGAUUGAUCUGAUGGCUAUAAAGUGAAUCCCUUAUAACUUACCCCUUAUAACUUUCCACUCAUUGUAGUCUCGGCGAAGUUACAUUAAGGGAAGACAUUGCAUUUGCUCUGCAUUCGCUUCAAUAGCUUUGAGAUUGCCAACGAAUUGUUCAACUUCUUUCUUCACGUUCAAAACAAAUUACCUCUUCUUCUAUGAAUUAGUUAUUGAAGGCAAGGUUAACGAUAUUAACGACUUUUCUAGCUUAAGAACACACACCAAAUCAAAGUUACUCAAGGCAAACAAAACACAUCUUCUAAAGGAACAGAAAAACUGGGAACUGAUACACAAUAAAAUAAGAGAAAGCCAAACCCAAAUUCACCAGUUCCUCAAGAGUACAUUUUACAAAUUAAUGACACAAAGGGAGUUUUGCAAAUGAUCAAUACACCAGUAGAUUAGUUAAAUAUAAGGUGCUUACAAAACAAAAAAAUCAGGGCAAUCAUCAAGCUCAGUGGACCUUCCAAAUUCACCAUGUCUCUGUCAAGGCAGUGAUGAAAAUAAUCAAAAUUUCUGUUAUUGGAACUUCCGUAGGCUGACACUUGAUGAUUUACAUCACUCUAAUUGCUUCAAUAGGGUCCCUGAAAUGAUGACACAUACAUAGUUGAUCAAUUAAUUUGCUUCUAGCAAUCAUUUCUCAAUUCGGGAAUUAAAUUUUUUGAGAAACAACUAAAACAUGCAGAUUAAACAAAACAACAAACCACGUGUAAAUUAAUUUAGGGAGAUUCACUAAAUUAGGCAGAUCAAAGUACCUUUCAUACUCAUUUGAAAAAUCCUCUUCAUAGAAAAAUCAUGAUAUCAUAAAUGCAAACAAUUACUUACAGUUUUAGCGAGUCACCAUCUCAAGAUCAUUGUUGGAGUUCAAUUACCCGGAGGAAAUGCGGAUGUUUGGGAUCUUAGCAGAAAUCUUGGCCCGCUCUCCACUGCCUUCUUCGUAAUGCUCUGCAAGUCUCCGACAUUUGGUGAUGUCAAGAGUCCGCAGUGGUGUUUUGAAGAUGAAGUCUGGCAGUGCUUUUAGCAAUUCGCAGUCGCCAAUUCUUAACUCAGAAAGGCAUGGCAUGAUUGUAAUUUCAGAAUCUUCUUUGGUCCACUCUUCCACGCCUUCCCACUCUUCCCAAUUCGACAUGUGGUAAAAGUGGAGUCGUUUCAAUUUUGGGAAUAAUCUGAUUCUGAAUGAGGUUUGAUGUUCUAAUCUCAAAAAUUCAACACCGACCUUUUUCAUUCCUUCGAUACCGAAUAUGGCCAGUCUUUCAAGGCAUUCCAAUUUCCCAAGAGGCCAAAAUUCACACAGUGUCCCCCAAGCAACAGUAAGGAAUCUCAAAUUGUGUAAAGACUGAAUCCAAUUGGGCCACGUGGUGCCAUUAUGUUCCAAAAUCUCUAAAGAUUCCAAAUCUGGGUGCGGUCGUAAGGCAUUCAGUAUUUCUACACUACUACUACUACUACUGUUUGUCCGCCCUGCAAAAUUAACACGGAGAUUAAAUAGCUUUUUGUCCCACAAUUGUGCUUUCUCAACCUCGCUCUUAUCUGUCGCAUCCCCCCCAAGUUGUAUUUCCAGACUUCCCUCAAGGUUCAAGUUUCUCAGAUCCCCAAUUUGGAAUGCUUCAUCUUUGUCGCCACCCCAUGAACACGCAUCUAGUGUUUGCAAACUUGUUAAUCUCCCUAUCACUUUGGGGAACGACUCCAGAAGACCACAAUACUUAACAUAAAGAUGCUUUAAGUUAAUCAAGUUUCCCAUGUUUUCAGGCAGUUUUGUAAGGCCAGAGCAGUACAUAAGGCGCAAGGUUGACAAAUUGUACAAACCACAAAUAGUGUCUGGUAAUUUCUUCAGUAUAGGAUUGGAAGACAAAUCAAUAUGCCUCAAAUGUAUCAAUUCACCAAUCUCCUUCGGGAGUUCUUCGAUGGGAUUAAAACUCAAAUUUAAUGUCCUAAGACAUUUCAAUUGUAAAAUUAAAUUUGGGUCUAUGGUAGUAAUUCUUGAAUUAAAAGUUGCGAGCGUACGGAGAUUUUUGCAAUCGUAAGAUGAGAUAAAAAGUGGAAGUGGACCUUCAGGAACAUAUCUCAAGGUCAAAUGACGAACCUUAUCACCAAAUACCUUUGGUUCGCUGGUAGUUUCCUCACCAUGAUCGAUAAUCAAACACUCAUUCUUGGUGAAAAAUUGUACAAAGUCAUGCACAAUAUCAUGCAUUUUGCAACUGGUAAUGGUACCGGUGUCAAAAUCUUUCUCAAAAUCUUGGAAAAAUGACCGUGCCACUAAAUUGUCAAAAACUGCAUAACCCGUUGUUUCCUUUUCUUUAUUCCCUUUCGAAAUAACAUAGUCUUGUGCCAUCCAAAGUUUAAUCAAAUCAUCUCGUUCAAACUGGUAAUCUUUUGGAAAAGUAGCACAAUAUAAAAGGCAACAUUUAAUUGUUGGGGCCAAAUCAUUAUAACUUAGGAAUAGGGGUUGGAAAACUUCUUGCUCGACCUUCUCUAGAUCCCAUAUCUUACUAUGCAAAACUUCUUUCCAUUCUCCCAUUUUUGUCUUAUUCUGCAUGAGACUACCCAAAGUCUUUGCAGCAAGAGGCAAACCUUUACACUUCUUUACAAUUUCCUUACUAAUAUCUCCAAACUCAUGUACAUCCCUAUCCAAAAAGGCCAUGUGAUUGAAGAUUGACAAACAACAUUCAUCAUUCAACUCUCCCAGAUUGAUCUUGUUUCUUGUUGCUCUCAUCAUGUCAGCAACCUCAUGUUUUCUUGUGGUCACCAAUAUUCUGUUGCCUUUAGCACCAUUUUGGAUUAAUGGUACCUUUAAUUGUUCCCACUUUUUAGGAUCAUCGGUCCAUACAUCAUCCAGGACAAGGAGAAACCUUUUGCCCUGGAUGGAUGUACACAUACAUUGCAAGACCUCAUCCAACUCAUUUGAAUUUGGGGCGUUUUUACCAAUAAUGGCUUUGGCAAUCUUAAUCUCAUCAAAAGGGUCUGAAACACAAACCCAUUUCCUCAAAUCAAAAUGGGUUUUGACUCGGUCAUCAUUAUAGGCUAGUUGGGUUAAAGUUGUUUUUCCCAUGCCUCCCAUCCCGACAAUAGGGAUGAUAAGGAACCCCUUCCCUUCCGCACUACUAUCACUCAACAAGUUUGUUAUCAAAACCUUUUUUUCAUUUUCUCGACCAAAUAUCUCAGAUAUAUCGACAAAAGAUGCAGUUUGAGGUCGUUGAGGUUGUUGAGGUUGUUGAAUGCCUAAUUCUUUGCUUAGAAACUGGUACUUUUUUCUUUCCUCAUAAAUCUCAGUUAACUUAUCAUUCAGAUCUUUUAUUUUCAGAGCAAUGUCAUGGCGAAGAAUCACCCGACUGACUUUGCCAAGACGAAAGUAACGGGUGAAACUAGAGAAACGUACCUUCUUCUUUGUAACAAGAGCAUUUGGAUCACCUUCUCUUUCUUGCUUCUCAACUUGUUGUCUGAGAAUGUUUGUGUUCCACUCAUCCAGCACAUCCACCAUCUGGUAGGAUACAUCUUUCAGCUCAUCCAACCAGAUUUUGACAGCUUGAUCCGUCACUUGGCGUUGCUCUGCAUCCUCAAGCACAGCUUGAAUAACUCGGAGAGUCCGAGUGAAUUUCUUAACAUCUUCCUUAACGUUCAAAACAAGUUUCACCCCUCCUUCUAUGUAUUCAUAGGUUGUCGAGGCCAACCGUUCUAGCAGCACGUAAAUGAGCGCAUCAGCCAUUAUUUUGAGCUUCAGAAAAUGGUUGACAGCAGUGUUUAUGAACAAGAACUGAUUUGGGGAUAAUUGUUUGUGUUGUGGUGUUCCCUUUCUUCUGCCCAGUUUAUAUGCUGAGUAAGUCUUCAAGGCAAACUCCGAGUCAAUUUUUAAGAUGCAUAACAGGGACACUAUAUUUUAAAGUGACAUGUUGACAUAUUAUAAAAGAAAUAUCUAAUCUGGGGCUGGUGAAUGUGCCAGACUGUCUUUCUUGACCUUACCAUACAAGACAAGAUUAACGCCUUGUUAAGGCGUGGAUGACAUCUGGCUUAAUAAUUGAUCGAGUUUUUAUACAUAUAAACUUUUUCCUUAUACUGUUACAUGAAGCAUUACCUGAACUCUACCUACUUGAAUAAAGAAAUGUAUCAAAGAUUGGUUGGACAAUUGAUUUACUUGUCACACACACCUUGUGACAUAUACUGUGAUCUGAACAAGAAGAAGAGGAUGAGAUUUAGGGAUUUCAAGAGAAGAAGGAAGAGAGAAAGCAAGAAGGAAGAGAGCCCUGUAAACCUGUAUAUCUGAUUAGAUUGUAAGUGAAAAAUGGUAAAAGCACAGCUUUAGUACAGUGCACAUCUCCUAAUAUUACGCUAACAAACUUAACAAAUACAGCUCUCUCACUAACAGACUUAACAGAGAGCACGUGAGCUGCACAUGAUGACUUAACAAUUUCUUAACUAAAACACAUGGUUAACAUUUUCCCUACCCAGCUGAACUCCUCAGUCUAAGAUGAAGACAGUGUUGUAAGAAAAUGGGACUGUGUAACCCCUUUGUAAAAACAUCUGCUAUUUGUUCUUCAGUAGGUAUAUACUGCACAAUAAGAUCCUUUCUUUGUACCUUCUCUCUCACAAAGUGGAAGUCUAUAUCCAAAUGCUUAAUUCGAGAAUGGUAUACUGGGUUUGAGCUUAAAGCUAGUGCUGAUAAGUUGUCACAGUACAUAGUAGGAGCAUCUGGCAAAAACAUCUUUAGAUCCAAGAGAACCUGUCGAAUCCAUGACAAGUCAGCAGCUGUGUUUGCUAGGGCCCUGUAUUCUGCCUCUGUUGAACUCCUAGACACAGAACCUUGCUUCUUGGACUGCCAGGAGAUAGGAUUACAACCCAAGAAUACUACACAUCCGGUUGUAGACCUUCUAGUAUUGAUAUUCCCUGCCCAGUUUGCAUCACUGUAUGCAUUAAGCUGCCAAGGACCCUUUGUAAAACUGAUUCCAUACUCUAAUGUACCCUGUACAUAUCUGAGAAUACGCUUCACCAAAAGAUAGUGAACCUCAGUUGGAUUAUUCAUAUAUUGACACACAUGAUUCACAGCAUAAGCCAGAUCAGGUCAUGUAAAUGUUAGAUACUGUAGAGCACCUACGAGACUGCGAAACACAGUAGGAUCAGCCAAGGGCUCACCGUCAGUCUGUAACACUUGAGUGUGUGGCUUACAUGGUGUUGCACAGGCUCUACAUGAACUCAUGCCUGCUUUAUGUAGUAGAUCCUUGGCAUACUUAGUUUGACUCACGAAUAUGUCACCAGAGGAAUUAUAGGAAAUCUGCAGACCUAAGAAAAAGGUGAGUUGCCCCAUAUCUUUCAUUUCAAACACCUCACUUAAGUCUGUAACCACUCUUUGAAUCAACUGAUCACUCGAACCUGUUAUAAUGAUAUCAUCAAAAUAUAAGAGUAGAAUGAUAAUAUCAUUCCCAGUAUGCUGCACAAACAGACUUGGAUCUGAAUGUGAAGAUUUAAAGCCAAGAGUAGGUAAGUAACCUGUGAAUUUAGCAUUCCAUGCCCUUGGAGCCUGUUUAAGACCAUACAAAGAUUUUUUCAGUUUACAUACAAACUGUGGAUGAGUAGAAUCUUCAAAACCAGGAGGCUGUUUCAUAAAAACUUCUUCUUCAAGAUCGCCAUGUAGGAAAGCGUUCUUGACAUCAAGUUGUCAUAGUUUCCAUUGGUUCAUAGCAGCUAUGCUUAAUACUAACCUCACUGUUGUGUGUCUAACAACAGGAUUGAAGGUUUCCCCAAAGUCAAAACUAGGCUCUUGACUGAACCCCUGAGCAACAAGUCUGGCCUUAUAUCUACCCACUGAACCAUCUGGAUUUCUCUUUAUUUUAUAAACCCACUUACUACCAAUAAUAUUUUUUAUCACCUGGACUAGGAACUAAGAUCCAUGUGCCUUGCAUAUGAAGAGCAUCAAUCUCCUCUUUCAUAGCUUGCCUCCACUCAGAAGAAAACGAAGCCACCUUAAAACUAGAAGGCUCAUCUAAUUCCGGAAUAGCAUGAAGACAGGUAAAAUAACCUUGAUAAUCUGGGAACUCUUUGUUUUGAACUAUACCACUUUUGGCCCGAGUAAUCAUAGGAUGAUCAUUGAUAGGAAAUAAAGAAACCGAUGAGUCCACAGUACUAACAGAAGAAGAGGAAACAUUAGAGACCUCAAACUGAAACAUAACCUGUAAUUGUUGUUCAUUCAACACAGGUACAGAACCUGCAGAAGCCACUGGAAUAUCAUCCAACGAAGCUUGAUGUUGGAUAGGAGAUAAAGACCCAGGAGUAGAUGAGAUGGACUGAGAUUGAGAAGUAGAUACUUGUGUAUCAGAGGCUAGAGACGAUGGAUCCUGAGAAUUAAGAGAAGCUUGAGAAGGCCUUGAAGCCAAAGAAACAAUGACAGAAGCUACUGAUGCAGUAGAAGAAAACUGAGAAGACUGCCUACAUAUGCUAGGGUUAAUGUGCUUAAAAGGAAAUACAGCUUCAUCAUGAGGAACAUGCCUUGAGAUUACACAUUUUGCAGUAAUUCGAUUGUAGCAAAUAACUCCUUUGUAACCAGGUGAAUAUCCCAAGAACACGCACUGAGUGGUUCACGGUUGUAACUUAUGCACAUUAUAAUGUCUUAGAUACGGAUAUACCGCAGUACCAAAUAUUCUCAAAGAAGCAAGAUCAGGAUGAUGACCAAAUAAACGAAAAUAAGGAGAUUGAUGAUGUAAAACAGAGCUGGGCAUUCGAUUUAUAAGAUACACAGCAUGAGCAGUAGCAUGAAACCAAAAUUGACCUGGCAAGGCUGCUAUAGUUAACAGGGUAAUGGCUGUUUCAAUAAUAUGCCUAUUCUUCCGCUCUGCCAGUCCAUUUUGCUGCGGAGUAUACGGGUAAGACAAACGACACACAAUUCCCUUGGAAGCCAAAAAAUCUGUAAAAACCUUGCUAAGAAACUCACCACCACCAUCACUCUGAAAACACUUAAUAGCAGCACUGAAUUGAUUUUGUAUCAAAGCAUGAAACUGUAGGAAUUUGGAGAAAACUUUUGAUUUAUUGAAAAUGGGAUAAACCCACAAAUAUCCAGUACAUUCAUCAAGGAAGAAAACAAAAUAUCUGUAACCUUCAACAGAUUUGUAAUGGGAAGGACCCCAUACGUCACUAUGAACGGUAUGAAAGGAAUUUCAGACCUACAAUGUCUAACAGGAAAUGGAAGCCGAUGCAUCUUCCCUUGAAGACAAGCUGAACACAAGGGAUUCAAAUUGGAAGAAUCAUUUGCACAUUGCAAACCAGAGGCUUUAAGCAUUGAUUGCACCACUUCAUUCGUUGGAUGGCCAAGUCUGUGAUGCCAAAUGGACGACUUAACAUGUUGACCAAGCAAAGCCACUUUCUUGGAUAGGUAAUGAGACCUAACCAAGCGUCACGAGCAGUCGUGGUGCCAAUAACAUACUCAAUGGCCUCAUCAGAGAGAGUGGCAAUGAGCAAACUGAGUAAAGCCUUAUUAGCGAGAAUCCAUUCCUUGUAAGCAGCAGUAACUUCAGAUGUAACACCCUCCUCAUCAACAAUAGCAAAGCGAGGAACAACUUCAGUUCCGUCAAAAUGCCCAAACAGAUCAUAACCCUGAAGAACAGAUUCCAAUUGAAAACUCCACUUGAGAAAAUUAUCGUCCCUGAGACGACGAGUAAUCAUCCCAAGCAAACCGUCAACUUUGACCGAAGAGGAAGAAGAAGAAGUCGCCAUUGAUGAACAGAAAUUAGAGAAAAGACAGAAAAAAAGAAGGAACAAUAGAGACAGAGCAAGAGAAGAGCACAGCGAGGAGACAGUUCAGAAAAAUCAGAAGCGGAUCGAAAGUGUCAAGCCACGAUGGGCUCUGAUACCAUCUUAACAAGAAGAAGAGGAUGAGAUUCAGGGAUUUCAAGAGAAGAAGGAAGAGAGCCAUGUAAACCUGUAUUUCUGAUUAGAUUGUAAAUGAAAAUUGGUAAAAGCACAGCUUUAGUACAGUGCACAUCUCCUAAUAUUACGCUAACAAACUUAACAAAUACAGCUCUCUCACUAACAGACUUAACAGAGAGCACGUGAGUUGCACAUGAUGACUUAACAAUUUCUUAACUAAAACACAUGGUUAACAUGUGAGUGUAGUUUAGUCAGUUCGUGCAUGUUCCCAGUAAAGAUCAUGUAAAUGAUGUAAGUCAUAUACUUAGAUAUUUGAAGUUAGCAACAAGAAAAUGACUUAUGUUCUCUAAGCAUGGGCAUUUAAAUGUGGAAAAGGUACACCGAUGUUGAUUGGGCAGGUAGUAUCAUUGCCAUGAGCUCUACAUCAAGUACAUUGGUUGGAGGUAAUUUCUCACUUGGCAUAGCAAUAAGCAAAAGAUGGUGGAAUACAGAAUAAUGGUACAAGGAAUCUAUGAACUAUUGUGAUUGAUAAUGUACAAAAUAAUGAUCGUACAUGUUGAAGCGGUAGACAUUUCAUUAAAAAAAUGAAGACAAUUAAUAUUCCAUUUGUGAAGACUAAAGACCAAUUAGUCCAUAUUCUGUCCAAGACAAUUAAAAAAAAAUAAGGUGUGCUACAACUCAUUGGUCAAGUUGAGGAUUGGAGGUAUGUGUUCACCAAUUUGAGCGUGAGUGUUAGUGUGAAUUCUAAAUAUAACCUAAUUUGUAGUCUCCUAUUUGGACUUUAUUAGGUUUAAUUACUUUACUUAAGGUCCACUUCUCGUAAAUCCUAUUUGUAACUAGGAGAAGAAUACAUAUUUGAGAGUUUUAUCGUAUUUGUUUCGACACCGAAAUUUUUUCUUAACGUAUGCACCUAAGUGAAACUCAUUCAGUUUUGCUCCAAAAGGAUUCCGUUGUGGACAUAAACCUUCUUGAUGAUUAUUAAACCUAAGUAAAGAUGAAGAUUAAAAGUAUAUUAAAUCAAUCCCAUUCAAAAUUUAAUCAACAAUGUUGUUUGUGCAAAUAAUCUCACGGGAGAAUAUUCGCUUCUAGAUCCCUCAACCUUCGACCUUCCUUCUCUCUCUUCCUCGUUUCCUGUAAAAAAGAUUGGAGUAAAUAGACCACACCUGGGGUGUGUUGGCCAAAGACCCUCCGAUGCCUAAGUUAGUUCGAGUGUUUGUAGGAAAACAAUAGCUAAGCAAAGGGUACGGAGUUGUAUGUAUGGUGUGAACCGGGAAGCCGAAGCCAUGUGUGGUGGCCGGAGCCGUGUGGAGAAAAUAUGGAGAGUGGAGAGGGAGAGAGAGCUUCAGGUAUUUUUCUCGGGUAUUAGGAGUAGGUUUAGAUGUACCUUGAAUGAUGAAUGAGGUCGUCUAUUUAUAGGAGCCUCGGGGGUAGGGUUUCGUAGAGAUCGAGUCGGACUUGAUAAUAUCCGAAUUAAUGAUAUUAUCUCUUAAGAAGAUAAUAUCUGAAUUAAAUGAUGUUAUCUUCUCUUUAUUAGGAUAAUAUCUGAAUUAAUGAUAUUAUCUCUUUAAAUAAAGAUAAUAUCAUAUUAAUUAAGAUAUUUAUCCCAAUUAAUUAAUUAGCCAGAUAAACUGGUUUAAUUAAUUAAUUUAAGAGAUAAUCUUCUUUUCCACGUGGUGUGCCCUAAUUGGAGACGAAAAUAUAUGCUCCCACAAAUGCCCCCCAGCUUCUGCGUAGCGCUUGUGCGGUAGGUAGGAGAUGAAAUUAUUUUUUUCGAACUCUCCAACUUUGUUUGGGCUUUCUUCUGUGAGUUGGACUCCUUUUGCAGAUCGGAUUCUCAAUUGGUGUAGGCUUCUGACUGUAGUUGGAGUUGGAUUCCCAGUAGGAAUGAGCUUGCGAUUCCUUCUUGACCCGGGUUGUCCAACUUGUAUAAAUACAUGGCUUCUCUUCACUCUUUCUCACAUCGCAAACUUAAUUUCUCUACUUUCUAGCUUGAGAAAGAUAUUGGAAAAUUUUGUACUGCUUGUCGAAGAGAGGAGUUGCCGUGCAUUCCAAGAUAAGUCGAGCACGUAUAUAUUUUCUUCAUCUUCUCUUUUUUGGGGUGAGGACCAGCUGGGUAGGACUAGGCUGGUUGACGUUGUGACUGGCGGUCAAAGACGGUUGGAGCGGCGGUGGCCGCUGGUUGCUGCUGAGCGAGUAUCGAAAAAAGUUGGUGGUCUGCCCCCUGCCCAAGGUGUUGAGAGAUGGAAGCAGAAUGGUCUAGUCUCUAAUGAUCUGCCGGCUGGGUAGGAGGAGUGUUCUGCCGGACCCCCAUAAAAAAGGAAGGCUGAUGUCAAGUCUUCAAUAAAUGAAGCUGCGACUUCGCGGGCGAAGGAUGUGUCACCGUUAAGAAGAAGCCAAGGAUUCCUUCUGUUGAGAAGAGUCAAGUAGGAGUUGUUCCCCCGUCGUCAGCUAGGGUUAAACAUCUCGUUGGUGCAGAUAGUAAGCAGAUUGGUGAUAUGCGCAAUAUUCGGGAUGUUCCACUCAAGCCUCCUGCAGACAAGCUUGGAGACCAUGAUCUGCUUCGUAAAGUAGUCCGUGCGCGAUCUAGUUCACCUGCUGUGAGGCAAUGAGAUGCAGAUAUUCUUCUUCGAAGUUCGGUCUUUUGCACCAGUUAAAGGAUGAAGGUCGAACUGGGAGGUCUUCUCAUCUACCCAACCGUCAUGAUCCAGUAGUUGAGUCACGAGCAGUCAAGUGUGGAGUAGAUUCAGCGUCGUUGGCUCAUUUGGAAGUGAGGACAGCGGCGACCAAGAAGAUGAAAGAGUCAUCUGCCCGGGUCGAGGGCUCUUCUGCAACGUCAGCGACUAAUCCGGAAGUGGACAAAUCCGCCCUUGCAGGGGAUGCAUGCAUGCCUGAUCUGCUUAAGACGAACUUUCUGUCAAGUCCAUCCACUUGUGCUGAGCUGGUUAAUCAAAUCUGUCAGCUGGCGAUCUUGGUCUUUUCUCAAGUCUUUUCUUGGAAAAACAAAGGGAAACAACAUUUCACAUGCUUCAAAAAAAAGGUGGUGGAAGAUGUCGCGAAUCAGGCAGGUGGAGCUGCUGAGAACGUGGCUGAUCAGACGGAUGUGGAAGAGACUGCAGAUCAAGGAUCUCUUGCUAGCGUCUCGGAGUAGAUGAAGACUCAUUUAUUUCUUUUCAGCUUUUGUAGUCUGCUCUCUGUUUAGAAUAAUCGGUCUUGUUUGACCAUCUUCUUUUUGUUGAACUUGGCCGGUUGAUCACUUUGCUAUGGAAAUUUCAGUUUUUUUUUGUUGAAUAACUUCAAUUCGCAUAAUGUCUUGUGAAUUGCUUGAGUGUUUCUGAGUUGUGGCAUGUUUAGCCUACGUCUAGAGACGUGUCGAUGAGAGUGGCCUGUUUGACUUACAUCAGGAGACGUGUCGAUAAUAGUGGCAUGUUUGGCCUACGUCCGGAGACGUGUCAAUGUGUAUAACUCGUUUACGUCUAGAGACGUGUCGAUGUGUAUGACCCGUUUGGCCUACGUCCGGAGACGUGUCGAUGAUAGUGGCCCGUUUGGCCUACGUCAGGAAACGUGUCGGUGAGAGUGGCCCGUUUGGCCUACGCCCAGAGACGUGUCGAUGAGUGUGGCCUGUUUGGCCUACGUCCGGAGACGUUCGAUGAGUGUGGCCUGUUUGGCCUACGUCUCGUCAGUAGACGUGUUGAUGAGUGUGGCCCGUUUGGCUUACGUCCAGAGACGUGUCGAUAAGUGUGGCCCGUUUGGCCUACGUCAGGAGACGUGUCGAUGAGAGUAGCCCGUUUGGCCUACGUCAGGAGACGUGUUGAUGAGUGUGGCCUGUUUGGCCUACGUCAGGAGACGUAUCGAUGAGACAGUGGCCCGUUUGGCCUACGUUUGGAAACGUGUCGAUGAGUAUGACUCGUUUGGCCUACAUCCGGAGACGUGUCGUUGAGAGUGGCCCGUGUGGCCUACGUCCUGAGACGUGUCGUUGAGUGGCCCGUUUGGCCUACGUCAGGAGACGUGUCAAUGAGAGUGGCCCGUUUGGCCUACGCCCGGAGACGUGUCGAUGAGUGUGACCCGUUUGGCCUACGUCCAGAGACAUGUCGUUGAGUGUGGCCUGUUUGGCCAACGUCCGGAGACGUGUCGGUGAGGGAGGCUUGGGUGCCUGCUUAGAGCCCAGCUGAUAGGUGAAGAGUUUUAUGGAUAGUCCCCUUGGAGGUGAUGGGCAUUACAUUGCCUUGGAACUUCCUUCCCAUUGAAAGAUGAUGAAAGGUUUUUCUUCCAUAAUUUGGUAGCUAGUGACCGCUUGGAAGACGAAAGUUGCCUGCUUGAUCUUUCUCUUCUGCCCCCUGGUGGUCAGCCCGGGCUCUUGGAGUCAGCUAGGAUCGUGUUGAUCCAUAUGGCUUUUUUCGUGGAGGCUCAUUGUUAGUUGCGUCACAAUCCUUGAUUUGCUGGAUAGCCCCCCUUGAGAUGAAUUCCAUGCAAUGGCCGUCUCUGACUAGAUCUUCGAGGUGCCUUUUUCGAGCGAAGCAGUCGUUUGUGUAAUGACCGUACCCUUCAUGGAAUCUGCAAUAUCUACUAGUAUCCUUCUCGGUUAGGUUUCCCUUUAAAGGUGAUGGUUUCUUCAACCAAGGCAUGUCCUUUACUUGGGCUAGGAUCUGGUGUAUCGGGAUAGUGAACUUGGUGUAGCUCUCUGUUGCUAGAGCACAUUCCUGAGGCUGUGAUCUGUGCUUGCCGUUCUCUUUGCUUGCCUGCUUAUUUGCUUGAUCAGCCUUCUUCGCGACAAUCUGGUCGUCGUCCCAUAGUGUGUAGCGCUCUGCUGUAGCAAAGACUUCUAUCAAUGUUUGGCGGGGAGAGAUGGUCAGCUCGCGAUACAGCUCACAUUCAAUUGGCAACCCCCUCUUGAAGGCGGAGGACGCAAUUUGGCCAUCACAUCCUACAAUGUUUGCCCUCUCCGCUUUGAACCUCUUGAUGUAGUCUCGGAGGGAUUCAUCGGACUUCUUGUGCAUGUUAGAUGGUCAGGGUUCUUCUUGAUCGUCCGAUAAGAAGUGUACUCUUUGGUGAAGACAUAUGCAAGCUCCUUGAAGCUGCUGAUCGACUCGGAUAGCAGGGUGUGAAACUAGUCCUGAGCUGCUCCUCGCAAAGUCAUUGCAAAAACCUUGCUCAUUAGCGCAUCUUUAGUUUUUUGUAGGAUCAUAAGGCUCUUGAAAUGCUUCAGAUGGCUUUCGGGAUCGGAAUCCCCUUCGAAGCAUGUGAAAGAGGGCGUUGAGAAUCGUUUCGGGGGAGCAGCUUGCUCGAUUUCGGUGGUGAAAGGUGAGGAGUUUGCUUGGUCUACCUCCAUGCGUAGUGCAUCUUCGAAAUUUUCUCCAAUCUUUAAGUCUUGAAGUCGGUUAUUCACAAGCUUCUCAACGUCUUCUGCACACAUGGCUGGUCGGCCACGUUGAUGACCUUUACGAUUUGGGCGAGGCUGAUUAACUUCCUCGUUGGUUUGCAAGGGUCGACUUUCUCGGUUGCGCUGCCUAGACGGCGUGUUGGUGGACUACGUUUGUGAGGAAUUUUCUGUAACUUGGCGACGAGAAGUGGUUCUUCGAGAGAAAGUAGUAAAGCGCAUUUCUUCACUGUUCUCAUUGUGAUGAUUAUCAGUUUGACCUCCUUGGGGGCCUAGGUGGGCAUGGAUGCCAAGUUGUGGGCCUAACAUAUUGUGCACGUUGGUCCUUAAAUUCAAUCUGGAUGGCAGACUUCGUCUGCUCUGAGUGUGGCUUGCGGAUGCUUGCGACAUGUUGGCGAGCUGAUUGCGUUGUUUUGCAUUUCCUUGUCUGCUUACUCUUGCUCGACCUGCUUGGUUCCCACCGAACUGCCUAUCGGUGCGUUCGUUCAUCCUUCUCUCUUCGCCCUGUUGUCCAACGCCAAGGUUUUGAGCCAAGUUUAUUUGAUUGAGGAAUUGCCUCAUUAAAUUGUUUUGGUCGUCCAUUCUCUGAGUUAGCUGGUCAACUCUCAGAUUAAGGUCUACUUGACUUCGUGGAUCGGGAGGAAAGAAAUGUGUGGAGCCUAAUUGCACACGGGCUAGGGUUUCAUUACAUGUGUACGUGGGUGCGCGUGUCGAGCGUGGAGGCAAUGGAGGGAAUGCUUGAAGUUGCUCCAAGAUUGGGCCAAAGUCGGCGGUGGUAGUGAGCCCACCUUGAUGCGAGGUUCCACCAUGCUCAACGGCGGUGCUAUGAAGGUGGCUAGAUCCGGCCACGGGGCCUUGAGAUGGUACGACGGCGGCAGAGGCCGGUGCGGUGGCCCUCGCUGCGAGUCUGGCAGGUGGCACGAUGAUUCCAGUCACACGGGGUGGCUGCUGAGGGUUCAUGGUGGCGAGAGGUGGUGGAGCCGCCAUGUCGAUUGUGCGAUCGUGGGAAGAGUAGCUUUGGGCCGUCACGGAUUGAGCCAUCGCGGCGGUCUUACUCUUCAUGCACUUGCUUCCAACCAUGGUUGUUUGGAAGGCUUCGGUGGAUUGGAAAAUAGGAGGAACGGAUUCCUUGAGCACGUGUUGAGUAUAACUCGUGCUCUCAACGAGAGCACCAAAUGUUUGUGCAAAUAAUCUCACGGGAGAAUAUUCGCUUCUAGAUCCCUCCACCUUCGACCUUCCUUCUCUCUCUUCCUCGUUUCCUGUAAAAAAGAUUGGAGUAAAUAGACCACACCCGGGGGUGUUGGCCAAAGGCCCUCCGAUGCCUAAGUUAGUUCGAGUGUUUGUAGGAAAACAAUAGCUAAGCAAAGGGUACGGAGUUGUAUGUAUAGUGUGAACCGGGCGGCCGGAGCCAUGUGUGGUGGCCGGAGCCGUGUGGAGAAAAUAUGGAGAGUGGAGAGGGAGAGAGAGCUUCAGGUAUUUUUCUCGGGUAUUAGGAGUAGGUUUAGAUGUACCUUGAAUGAUGAAUGAGGUCGUCUAUUUAUAGGAGCCUCGGGGGUAGGUUUCGUAGGGAUCGAGUCGGACUUGAUAAUAUCCAAAUUAAUGAUAUUAUCUCUUAAGAAGAUAAUAUCUGAAUUAAAUGAUGUUAUCUUCUCUUUAUUAGGAUAAUAUCUGAAUUAAUGAUAUUAUCUCUUUAAAUAAAGAUAAUAUCAUAUUAAUUAAGAUAUUUAUCCCAAUUAAUUAAUUAGCCAGAUAAACUGGUUUAAUUAAUUAAUUUAAGAGAUAAUCUUCUUUUCCACGUGGCGUGCCCUGAUUGGAGACGAAAAUAUAUGCUCCCACAAAUGUCUCAUAGACCACAUACAUAUCCACCCACGCAAACGUAGUGGUUAUAUGAAAUGAAAACUUAUCUUUGGCUAUAUGAUAUCCCACAACUUUCUUUUCCUCUCUUCUCUUAUCUUUUCACACACAUAUACAUUUAUACUAUAUAUGGUACAAUAAUUAGUAAUAUUUGGGUUAAUUCUAAAUUAGGGAAUGUAGGAAACAACUACUAUCUUGCCUUGGACAAUUGUAUAGCUUCUUGAUCAUGUGUAGACUCUUCAGCCCAGGCAAACUGGUGAUGAGACAGGAGUGAGAAUUCGCGAUUCCUUACAUCCUCAAGCUGCUCCCACUCUGCCCAUCUCUCUGCUAGAUCCACUCCCUGCAGCAAUCUAAUGACCAUAGCACCAUUUCAUGAUAAAGACAUUAUCAUACAGCUUUAGUGCUGGAACUCUCUCAAACCUCUUAGUUAGAAUUCUAAAUUUUUAAUGGGCUGGUCAGCCCAGUCCUACACCAACAGUAGGGGUGGGCGAAACCAGAUUGAACCAGACCGAACCGGCUAGUUUGAUUAGGAUUUUGACAAAAAUUAAGGUCAUACGGUUCAAAACCCAGCUCAGUUCAGCUGGUGGUUUCAAUUCCCUCAGGAACGAGAGAACAUAACCGAAUCAUUUCCCACUCUUUUUAUUAAUUCCGCCCGUAUCCCUCCUAUAAAAUCAUCUUUUUCCCCUAGCUCUAGCCACAUAAACCUAUCUCUCCAGUGAAGGAAGUAAACAAAGACAUCCUUCGCAUAACUCCUUUAGCAUGCAGACAAACACAAAACAAGGAUGUAUUUAAAAAUAAUAUAUAUUAUAUGAGUAUGAUAUAUAUAUAUAUAUAUAUUUUAGUAUGAUAUAUAUAUAUCCAAUUUUCUAUAACAGGUUAACCGUACUUGAGGAUAAUCAAGGUCGCCCGGCCAGUGCAUGUUGGUAAACUGGCCGUGCAAAAUCUGAUUAUCCACUAGUGUGGUUAACCAUAUUAUAGAAACACGGAUAUAUAUAAGUAAUCCCCAUUAACUCUCUUACAAUAAGAAUUCGUACUUAUUGCUGAUGCCAAUACAUCAAUACAAGGGAAUAUAAAAGGAAAUGAGAAUCAGAGUUUAAUGGGAUUUACUUGAAUUUUGGAAUUGUAAAGAAUUGCAUUGGAACUCUUCCGGUUAACUCAUUCGAUGAAAGAUCCCUGCCCAAAAAAAAAAGGAAUUUAUAAAUGGUAAAGAAUAUCACACAGUGUGCAAGCUCAGAUGGGCAUGCAAUUAUAUUUAGGCAAUAAGUCAAACAGCAGGAUUUCGAAAAAAAGGAAUUGCUUACAGUUCAGUCAACCCGCUAAUGUUUGAAAGUGAAUCCGGAAUAUGUCCAGAUAUGUGGUUACUGUUGAGAUUUGGAUUGUCAAGGGAGCUAGAGAGCAAAAGACUAAGAGAGGGAGAGAGAGCCUGAGCAAGAAGGAAUCAAUAUGGUUAUGACCACUACUCCUCUGCUUAUCCGUUGCAGCAGAGCAGACUAUAUUCAUACCCAAAAUGUGUUCUUACAUCAGCAAAUACAAUCUAACCGUUGUGAAGGAUAAACCAAUGUGAAUAUGACACAUGGCUUUACAAGCUUUACAACCGCUGAAAUAAGAGAGACAAUCCUAAGCCUUACACUUGGCAUAUGAGCUCAAGGUGCUCAGCUCACAGAUGACUUAAAUGGACUGAAUAUAAACUGACUAAGUACUUACUAACUAAUCAGAAAUAGCUAGGCAGUUUACAUUUUAACACUCCCUUUCUAAAGUGCUAGCUGAUUUCACUCCAAGCAUAUUCCUCAAAUAGCUGAACCUGUCUUUGGGAAGUGCCUUGGUGAAGAUGUCAGCAAUUUGCUCUUCUCCUUUGCAGUAGAGCAGCUCAAUCACUCCUUCUUGGAUUGCUUCUCUAAUAAAAUGGAACUUCCUCUUAAUAUGCUUGCUCCUUUGAUGAAAUACAGGAUUUUUAGCCAUUGCUAUUGCUGAAGUGUUGUCACGGAACACAGUUUUUGCAGCAGUCUGUUCUUCCCCAAAGUCUUCAAGAACAAACCUAAGCCAAAUGGCUUGUGAUGUAGCUUCUGCUGCACUCACAUACUCUGCUUCUGCUGUUGAAAGGGCCACACUAUGUUGUUUGACUGAUGCCCACGAAAAUGCACCACUUCUAAAUGAAAAUGCAUAUCCGGAAGUGCUUUUCAUAUCUUCCUCUGAUCCACUCCAGUCACUAUCACAAUAUCCUACUAGAAGUGCAGACUUUCCAGUCACAUACUCAAUUCCAUAAUCAAUUGUGCCUUGUAUGUACCUUAGAACUCUUUUGGCUGCCCCAUAGUGCAUCUUAGAGGGAGUGUGCAUGAAUCUUGCAAGCAGGCUAGCUGAAAACAUGAUAUCAGGUUUGGUUGCAGUUAGAUAUAGCAAGCUUCCUACAAUUUUUCUGUACAAGCUUUCAUCUGCUGCUUCACUUCCAUCUUCUCUUUGCAAUUUAUCAGUGGCAACUAAUGGAGUGCUCACUAAUUUGCAAUCCUUGAGUCCAAACUUAUCUAGGAGAGUGAGUGCAUACUUCUUUUGAUGGAUGAAAAUGCUCCCUUCAGUUUGUGUUACUCCCAUACCAAGAAAAUGAUGGAGUAAACCCAAGUCAGACAUUUCAUACUUGCACAUCAUCUCAACCUUGAAUUCUUUCACCAUUUCAUCACUGCUUCCAGUAUAUACUAUGUCAUCUACAUAGAUUGAUAUAAUUAAUGUUCCCACACCUUCCUUGGUUCUCACAUAGAGAGUUGCUUCACUUGGACUUCUGUGAAAACCACACUGAUAUAAGUAAGUGUCGAUUUCACUGUACCAGGCCCUUGGAGCCUGAUUUAGUCCAUAGAGAGCUUUUCUUAGUCUGUACACCUUAUCCUCAGCUCCUUUAAUCACAAAGCCUUCAGGUUGAUCCACAUAGACUUCCUCUUCAAGAACACCAUUUAAGAAAGCUGAUUUGACAUCCAAUUGCCAUAAUUUCCAGCUUUCUGUGCAGCUAGUGCAAUGAGAGUUCUAAUAGUGUCUAACCUUGCUACUGGAGCAAAGGUUUCAUUGAAAUCAAUCCCUGGUUUUUGUGUGUAACCCUUGGCUACAAGUCUUGCCUUGUGUUUUUGAAUGGAGCCAUCAAGGUUUAGUUUAGUUUUAUAUAUCCACUUCACUCCCACAAUUGGUUUGCUGCCUGGUCUAUCAACCAAUUUCCAAGUGGAAUUCUUCUCUAUCAUUGAUAUCUCUUCAGUCAUAGCCUUAUUCCAAGCUUCAUCUUUGGCUGCUUCAUGGAAACUCUCUGGUUCAAUAAUGCUCAGUUUACAUUGAGCAUAGACCUCACUUAAGUUCUUCCAUUUUUGUGAAGUAUGAUCAAAAGUUUCAGAGAUUGAAACUAAUGAAUCAUGUGUAGCUGAUUCUAGAGUGGUUUGCAGAUCAUUAGCCACUUGUGGUCUCUGAGGAGAUUGACUAGACUGAAGUGAUUCAUUUGAAUAUGAAUCAAUUUCUGAUAUUCUUGAACUUUCUUCUUCAUGCCAUGGAAUAGUCACUUGUACUUCUUCAUUCAACUCCUAAUUCCACAUUGCUAUCUCAUCAAAGAUAAUGCUCCUUGAGAGUUCAAUCUUUUUAGUUUCUAGAUUAAAGACUCUAUACCCUUUCUCACAAAUCCCAUAUCUGAGAAAUACUCCCUUCAUUCCAGUUUCUUCCAGCUUGUGUCUUUUCUGAGAAGGAAUAUGGAUAUAGCACAGUGAACCAAAUAUUCUCAAGUGCUUGACACCUGGUUUUCUCCCACUGAACUUCUCGAAUGGAGUUGUAUUAUCCUAAGCACUUGUUGGACUUCUAUUUUGCAGGUAUACAGCUGUAUUGAUAGCUUCUACCCAAAAUUUCAAAAGGAUUUUCUUCUCAUGCAUCAUUGUUCUUGCCAUUUCCAUCACAGUACGAUUCUUUCUCUCUGCAACUCCAUUCUGUUGCGGAGAGUAGGCUAUAGUUAGUUGCCUUUCUAAUCCCAUCUCUUCACAAAACUUUGAAAAUUCCAAAGAUGUAUAUUCUCCACCUCUAUCACUUCUUAGCUUCUUAAUUUGAUAACCACUUUGCAACUCAACCAUGUUUUUGAACCUUUUGAAUAUGUUGAAUGCUUGAGACUUAUGCUGCAAGAAAAACACCCAACACAUUCUAGUGUGAUCAUCAAUGAAGGUGAGAAAGUAUCUAUUCCUUCCAAGAGUGAUAGACUGCAUUGGACCAUAGAUAUCUGAGUGAAUCAGUUCUAGUGGUUGUGAGGCUCUCCAAGCUAUUUCCUUAUCAAAUGAACUUCUGUGACUCUUGCCUAUAGCACAACCCGAGCAAAUCUUCUCAGAUUCUUGUAACUUAGGUAGACCCUGAACCAUGUCUUUCUCUUGUAAGAGUCUCAAACUACAGUAGUUUAGAUGCCCAAAUCUUCUGUGCCACAAGCAAGAUGGUUCUCCAAAUGUUGCUCUAUUUGCCACAGGAGGAUUGACAUAUUUGAGAUCUAAGGGAAAACAUCUGUUCCCUUUCAUUUGAACUCUUGCAAUCAGCUCUUGCAAUUGCUUAUCUUCAUAAAUGUCAACCUCAUUAUCACCAAACACCAACCAAUGCCCAUGCUCUAUCAUCUGUCCUACGCUCAACAGAUUCUCAUCCAAACCAGGUACAAUCAUGACUUCUCUAAUAAAUCUAGUAACCCCUUGCACAUCUAUAGCCAAAGUACCUUUGCCUAUUGAUUGUACUAAAUCACCAGUGCCCAUCUUAACUUUACAAUUCACAUUUCUAUCUAUAUCAAUAAGUAAGGACUCAUAAGCAGUCAUAUGAUUACUACAAGCACUGUCCACAUACCAAACAUUCAUAUUUUUUUCAAUAGAAGCUGAAUGACAAGCAUAGAACAUAGUAGCAGGUUCUGUUACCUUGCUAGCCAAGUUCGCAAGUUUCUCAGUCUUAUUUGAUUGUUCAUAGUCUUUAAUGGGAUGCCCAAAACGAUUGUACCCAUAGCACUUUGGCUUUCCUUUAAACCAGCAUUCUCCAUAGUGAAGCUUAUCACAGUGCUUGCAUUUCCCUUUUGCUUGAUCUGAUUUUUCCCCUGGUUCAUGCUUUCCUCCUUGGUUGCCACUAUUUUGAGGUUUUGAAUCCCAUUUCUUACCCUUCGAUUUCCAGCUCUUCUUUGAUUUAUUAUUACCAAAACCAGAAUUGGACUGAGAUCCCUUUUGAUUUAUGCUCAUGCUGCUGAAGGCUUUCUCAGUGGUGUUCUCAGCAUGCCUAUCAAGGCGCUGAGCAAAACCCCUCAAUGCAGCAAUCACCUCUUGCACCUCAAUCAUUUCAAUAUCCUUAGUUUGUUCAAUUACAUAACAGGCAGGAUCAAACUCCUUAGUCAGGCUUAUAAGUAGUUUUUGAACUAACCUUCCUUUGGAUAGGUCUUCCCCAUAUCCCUUCAUCUGAUUCACAAGCUCAAGUAGGCGAGUGAGGUAUCCAGACAAGGUCUCAUCAUCCCUCAUCCUUGUGUACUCAAAAUCACGACGCAAACCCUGCAAUUUGAUGGAUCUGACCUGCUUAUCACCAUGAAAUUCCUGAUGUAAAAUAUCCCAUGCACCCUUUGAGGUUUCUUCAUUCGAAAUCCUAGGGAAAAUGUCUUCUGAGACAGCCUCUUGGAUAAUCCCAAGUGCCUUAGCAUCCUUCAUUAAUAGAGCUUCCUUCUCAGAAUCCGAUGACCCAGCAUCAUCCACCUUCUUCCCCUUUGAAUCUGGAAUUUGAAGCCCAUUUUCAACUAAAUCCCAGAUUCCAUGAGAUUUGAAAAUCGUUCUCAUUCGAAUCUUCCAAAAUCAUAGUUGUCCCCAUUGAAUAUUGGAGCUCUGAGAUCACUCCCACCUGACCCAGCCAUCUAAGACAGAAUCAAUGAACUGAGUCGGAAAUUUCUCCUCGGAUUUCCAAGCUCAGCCCACACACAGCUUCAACGCCCACUAUCCAGAUCCAACCUUCACUGUUGAUACCAUGUUGAGAUUUGGAUUGUCAAAGGGAGCUAGAGAGCAAAAGACUGAGAGAGGGAGAGAGAGCCUGAGCAAGAAGGAAUCAAUAUGGUUGUGACCACUACUCCUCUGCUUAUCCGUUGCAGCAGAGCAGACUAUAUUCAUACCCAAAAUGUGUUCUUACAUCAGCAAAUACAAUCUAACCGUUGUGAAGGAUAAACCAAUGUGAAUAUGACACAUGGCUUUACAAAGCUUUACAACCGUUGAAAUAAGAGAGACAAUCCUAAGCCUUACACUUGGCAUAUGAGCUCAAGGUGCUCAGCUCACAGAUGACUUAAAUGGACUGAAUAUAAACUGACUAAGUACUUACUAACUAAUCAGAAAUUAGCUAGGCAGUUUACAUUUUAACACCCCUCAAUACCCUGCAGCACAGGUGAGAUGAUUAAUUUUUCUUUUCUAGAGAACAGGAAAGUGUUCACAAGAUAGUACUUUCCAAUAUAAACAGUUGUAGAACACUCAGAUAAGACAACAGCAUAAGUAACUGCUACAUAUCAAGGCAAUUCCCCAAUAAAUACAAGAACAUUUUACAUUUAUAGACAAAAAAGAAAGUUGGAAUAUUUUAGGAAGGGAAAUGCAGCCUUACAAAUGCUUUAAAUUGGACAGUUGACCCCAGGUAUUGGGUAUAGGACCUCUGAAAUUAUUGUUUGCAAGAUUUAGAUUCUGUAGAUGUGUCAUGUUGGCAAGAUAAAUGGGUAACAGGCCUGUUAGACUAUUAUCCUGGAAGUCCCUGCAUAAAUAAAGUUAUUUUAUCAAAAUUCAUGACUGGAUGCAAAAAAAUAUAUUCUUCAGAAUUAAACAAACAAGUACAAUAAUGAAGGCGUUGGUAUUAUAUUCCACUUUUUUCUAUGACUCAGUUGACAGUAUGUAAAGUUACAAUGAUAAAGGGAAAACUUAAAUUCUCCCUCUCUCUCUCUCUCUCUCUCUCUCUCUCUCUCUCUCUCUGUAACACCCCGACUCCAAAUUAAAUGUCUAUUUUAACCUAUUUAUAUUAAAUUACGAAUUUACCCUUGGGGUAGGGGUAAAUUGGUCACUUUCUUAAUCAGAAGGAUUUUGGGACCACGGAUAGUAUUUCUGAGUAGGUAGUACUGAGACGAAUUCGUAGACACGCGGUAGGCUUGAAUCGGAAUUGUAACGAAAAAGUUACGGGAAAAACACUAUCAGUGGCAAAACUGUAAACAUUUCAAAAAGUUUGGUAAAAAUCAGAUUUUUCACCUCAGCUCUCUCUCUCUCUCUCCUCGCGCGCGCUCGACACUCUCUUUCUCCUCAGUCUCUCUCUCUCCCCGACACCGACUCUCUCUCUCCUCGGUUCUCUCAGCUCCGGCGACGGCAGGACACGAGACCGGUCCCGAUUGAUCCACCUUGACGUCCCGAUCAACACCUGCCCGUUUUCCCCGUCGAAAACCACGAACUCAAACCGCGAGCUCGACUGUUUUGAACCGGAGCUUUCCCGCCGUCGCGCCGCCUCCUCCGCCCCCCAAACCCGGUGAGUGAGGUAUGGUUUCUCAUCCAUUUUUCGAGUCCUAGCUGACUGUUGUAUAGGUUUGGACCGAUUCAUUGUCUAGGAAAUCGAUUAGAAAAUCUAGGUUUUGGCCGGAUUUCAAAAUGAAAUUUCGGCCAGUUGCCGCCCGAAUUGGACCUUCCCGUAGUUGAAUGAAGUGAUCUUGACCUUGAGUAGAAGCUAGGGUAGGAAAGGUGAGCUCGGCUGUGGAGUUUUUUCGUUCCCGGAAUUACUCUACACACCCACGCGCUACCGGCGCUUGUGGCGGCGCGUGGGCGAGGCUGGUGCGGUUGUAAAUUAAUCCAAUGAGAUCCUCAGGUUGUCACGAGCGCAUAGGAAUUCGCGGAUCUCAAUUCGGAUGUAGUUUGGCUAUCGAACGGAUUUUCGCAUAUUGUGCGUUAUCCGGGUUCGAUAGGUUCCGACCGUUAGAUCUUUCCCGAAUUAAAAUAUGUUGUUCUAGGUAUUUCUAGGACCAUAUGGGACUUUACGAAUUAUGAAUCGGAGCCCCGGAUGUUCCGAUUCAAUAAUGCAAAGUUUGCGGGUUAGCGAUAACUGUAAAAUCGCGAACGAUUCCUAAACCUGUAAUCGGACCUUAGGAUACCUUCUUCAACGUGCACGUAUGGGGAAUUUGGGAUUUAAGCAUUCAAUUUGUGAUUUCCGCUUCGACGUAAUUUUAUAUUAAGUAACGGUUCGUAUCUCGAAAUAGGUGUUUCGACUACACGUACUCAGCAGGCAGGACCCUCACGUGGUCAGGCAGCGUGGGAAUACUUGUGAGUGGACUUUGUUUUCAAUCAUAUGCAUGGUUUUAAUUGAUGAAAGAUUUUUGCAUAAUGUUUUAAUGGCUUAUUGAAUAUAUAUUAUAUUCAUGAGUUGAUUAUGUUGGUUGUAUAGCGCUUGGCAAUAUAUUGUGAGUUUGGCAUUGUGGGUUUUGAGAGUGCAUUUUAUAUGGUUGUGGGGAAGUAUAUUUAUAUAUUAUCUAUAGACGAAAUACUUGGGUUGUUGAAGGGUGUUGUGGAAGAAUUUGAUUUUUGAGAGAAGUUGUAUGAUUACACUAUGUAAGUACCUUCCCCAGUUAUCAGUAUCACUCGCGGCGUUGGAUGUUCCGGCAUGUGAGACACUUUCCAUAUGCGGCGUUGGAUAUUCCGGCGUAUGGAAAGACUUUGUGUAGUGUUUUGGGUCAUCACCAUGGCGUUGGAUGUUCCGGUGUGUGAUGAUCCAGUCUGCGCGCGUAAGACAUAGUUUGGGAGCUACACAUGGCGUUAGAUGUUCCGGUGUGGGAGCUUUGGAGUUUCGUCCCCUAGUUGGACCGCUCAUCCCUAGACGUAGGAUAGCACCUGGAAAUCCUGCGGACUAGUCAAACGAUCCCCCAGUUGGAUUGUUUCCCCGGUACCUAGGUGAUGUGAUGAGUAUAUCGUAUAGCUAUUUAUAGUUAUAUAUAUAUGUAUAUUUUUAUGUAUACGUAUAGUUGAGUGAGUGAAGAAUUAGAGUUUUUCGGUGGUUUGACAGGAGUUGUAAGAUUGAGAGAAUGGGAUUCUUUUUGAAGGAGAUAACUGGUGUUUUAGAAGAGUUUUAAUGAAUGUUGUUUUGAGUAAUUAUUUAUUGAAUUGUGAACCUGCAUGACUUGAGCAUUAUUUUUACAUGGUGGGGUUACUAUAUAUUUUUUAACUGCAAAUCUGGUUUUUGUCCACUCACAUAUUUUCUGUUUUGCGCCCCCAGCUAGUAGUCGCUCCAGGAAGCGUGCAAGUGGUGUACGAGGCUCGAACUGUGAAUCUUUCUAGUUAGGAACUGAGUAAUUUCUUCUACUCAACUGUUCUUAUAAUUUAAAUUCAGUAGAUGCUCUGUAUUGCCCAUGGUAGAUUUUACUUGUGAGGCCGGAGGCCACUCUAGUAUGACUUGUAGAAUUAAGAAAGCAUGCUGCUGGUUGGGAUUUUUAUUUUAUGUAUGUUGCAGGUUGAAUAGUUUUUGUUGGGAUUGCUUAAUUACAGGGGAGACUCUGCCAAAUUUUUAGUAGAAAGUCUCGGUUUCUUAGUAAGUGGGCCCGGCAUCGGAAAGAUGUCAGAAUAAAGACGGGGUCCACUUCGGUUUUCGGAAAAUUCCGGGGCGGGUCCUGUCACUCUCUCUCUCUCUUGGUACCAGAGCACAGACUAGUGAUCCAAAUCAGGUUUCAGCCAAUGGAUUAUGUUACAUUUUCUGACACCAUCAGCCACAGAAUACUAAUGCAUCAAGAAGUUGACUUACAGGCUAGCCAAACAUUUCAGUUUAGUAAUCGAAGGAGAAAGCGUUCCAGAAAAUCCAUUUGAUGCCAGGCUCCUGCAAAGUAGUACAUUCACAAACUAAAUGUACUGCAAUGAUAAAUGAUUUUCAAAGAUGGCGAUAUUAAUAAAAUAUAUAUUUUUCAUGAUCAUAAAAUUUAGUUUAACUUACAGGGAUAUGACAUUUCCAUUUCUACAAGUGACAUGAGACCAGCUAAAAUAGGGGCUAACGAGAUUAUUAUUCCAAUCUGUUAUUCGGCCACUGGAAUCAUUCAGUGCCCUAAGCAAAUCGAUCAAUGCUUCACCUGCACAUUAUCGUAAGUGAAGAACAAAAUUGUAUGUAGAACCAUAAAUGGCUGGUGAAAAGAACUUUUGUUUAUAUUACAAUUCUGAUAAAUGAAAAAUGAAAAAUUCUUGGACUUAGGUAAGGCAGAACACACAAACCAUGUGAGCACGGCAGUAGAUAAGGUAGAACACAUAAAGCCUGUGAGUACGACAGUAAAUAAGGCAGAAGCAAAGACAAGGGGCAAGGCCACAGCAACAACAACGACAAUGACCACAUCAAUGGAAAGCAAAGCAAGCAAAGACAACAUCAACGGCGGCAACAUCGACCACAACAGAAACACACCAGCAAAGGCAUGAGCAACAAUACUGGCACCAUAACAUGCAUGAGCAACAAUACUGGUACCGAACAACAGCAAUAUAAGGCACUGGCACCAGCAAGAGCAUUAAGGCCGGGACAUAAUAGGCAUCAUCAACAGUAAUCAACAUUGUCCCCAACAAGAGUCAUAAUAGGCAGGAGCAAUAAUAUUGUCCCCAACAAGAGACAUAACAGGGAUGAGCAACGGUACUGGCACCAGCAAAGGACAUAGUAGUUAGCAGCAAUAACAAUGACAAAUACUUCCAUUAUCGCACAAACAACUUAUCUUCACUCCCCCUCUUCCCCUGAAGAGAACGGGUCAUCAGAACCAUAAGAGAAGUGGCACUUAAGAAACAGAAGCUGACUUACGCUCAAAUGUAGAAGAAUCAGUCAUGGCAGAUAGGUAGCUAAAUUGCAGUGGAAUAGAUAAGCAGCGAUGUCACUCCCCCUCAAAUCCGACGAUGUAUGAGAGUCGAGAUUUGGAGAAAGCAACACCGAAAAAUAAAGUUGCAGCACCCAAAUAAAGUUGCAUCUAUUUCCCCAUCAAAUCUGACACUGGUAAAAGGUCGAGAUUUGGAAGAUGAUAAAUUGAAAUAAUAGUAAAGAGACUCAAACAUGCCAGUCUCGUGGCAGAAACAAAUGCAAGAGGGGAAGGUGGUAGCAUAAAGCUGUCCCAUGUAGAAAAAACUUUAGAAAAAGAGAAUAGUAAGGGAGGAAACCCAACAAAUCAUGAACAGAGACAAAGACAAAGAUAAGGUGCUCAAACAGGAAUUAGAGCAAAGGACACCGAAAAAAGGAAACCUUUCAUGUGUG